Molecule: long non-coding RNA, 50710 nt
Filed under: Podarcis lilfordi (Lilford's wall lizard)
Lineage: Eukaryota; Metazoa; Chordata; Lepidosauria; Squamata; Lacertidae
Source: RNAcentral
CUCAUCCUCUGUCGUCCCCUUCUCCUUGUGCCCUCCAUCUUUCCCAACAUCAGGGUCUUUUCCAGGGAGUCUUCUCUUCUCCUGAGGUGGCCAAAGUCUUGGAGCCUCAGCUUCAAGAUCUGUCCUUCCAGUGAGCACUCAGGGCUGAUUUCCUUCAGAAUGGAGAGGUUUGAUCUUCUUGCAGUCCUUCUUCCUUAGUUUUCUUAAUUUGCUUUGGAUUCAUGGUCGCCUUCGCUUGCCCAGCCCUGUUCCCAGUGGACGCCCUCCAAACUCAACAGAGCGCAAAUCGCUAGCCGUGCUCCCAAAGCUUUCUCUCCCUGCCUGUGUUGCCUAAGAUACAUUUGGGGGCAAAAAUGUGAUCCUCUCGGCUUCCCCCUUUCUUCUGCUUUCCAGCAAGGCUCCAGAGUUAGCCACGCUUGAGGUGGCUGCCACAAUCGAUGUCCCUUUCGCAAGCAGGCUCUCUUCAAGCUGUCUCUCUGGGUCUCGUGCCAUCCCAGCCACCACUGCUUUGAGGGCCUGGGAACUUGGGCUCCAAAAGAGCCUUACCAGGGGAGAGGGUUGCUUAUGUGCCAAGGGGUGUGCAUGUGUGUGUGUGUGUGUGUGAGAGAGAGAGAGAGAGAGAGAGAGAGAGAGAGACGGGAUGGUUCGAAAGGCCACAAAACCAAGCAAAAUACAGAAGUAGGCCAUUGGACAAGAUACAUAAUAAUAUAAUGUUUUAUACAUAAACAGAGCCUAGGACUUGCUGAUCAGAAGGUCGGCGGUUCGAAUCCCCGCGACGGGGUGAGCUCCCAUUGCUCGGUCCCAGCUCCUGCCCACCUAGCAGUUCGAAAGCACGCCAGUGCAAGUAGAUAAAUAGGUACAGCUCCGGUGGGAAGGUAAACGGUGUUUCCGUGCGCUACUCUGCUUCGCCAGAAGUGGCUUAGUCAUGCUGGCCACAUGACCCGGAAGCUGUACACCGGCUCCCUCAGCCAGUAAAAUGAGAUGAGCGCCGCAACCCCAGAGUCGGUCACGACUGGACCUAAUGGUCAGGGGUCCCUUUACCUUUACCUAAUAUAAUCAGAUGGCACUUUGCUCCGUCUUCCUGACAUUUCCUUUCCUGUCAAUUCUUGCAUUUUGUGUGAUCUUUCAGACAUUGCAAAAGGCACUUCUGGAAAUCUAGUGUUAAUUGUUUCGUCAGGGGGAGCAAUCAGUUAACUCAGAAAAACAGGGGAGCUUUGCGUUGUAAUUUUCACGAUCGCACUGUUGCCCCUCGGGGGAUGAAAUUUGCCUGGCAUCCUGGUGUACAGUUAAAAUUGGGCAAUGCAUGGCAGCAUAUUCACCCCAAAGCCACGACCCAUACGUGAAAGAGGUGGAUCUCAGUAGUUAACCACAUAAAGAUCGGCUUUAUUGGGCAAAUAAUAAUAAUAAAUUUAUACCCCACCCAUCUGGCUGGGUUUCCCCAGCCACUCUGGGCAGCUCCCAACAGAAUAAAAAAGGGAUAAACUAUCAAACAUUAGAAACUUCCCUAAACAGGGUUGCCUUCAGAUAUCAUCUAAAACUCAGGUAGUUGUUUAUUUCCUUGACAUCUGAUGGGAGGGUGUUCCACAGGGUGGGCGCCACCACUGAGAAGGCCCUCUGGCUGGUUCCCUGUAGCUUUGCUUCUUACAGUGAGGGAACCACCAGAAGGCCCUCGGUGCUGGACCUCAGUGUCUGGGCAGAAUGAUCGGGGUGGAGAUGCUCCUUCAGGUAUACUGGACCGAGGCUGUUUAGGGCUUUAAAGGUCAGCACCAACAAUCUGAAUUGUGCUUGGAAACAUACUGGGAGCCAAUGUAGGUCUUUCAGGACCGGUGUUAUGUGGUCCUGGCGGCCGCUCCCAGUCACCAGUCUAGCUGCUGCAAUCUGGAUUAGUUGUCGUUCCCAGGUCACCUUCAAAGGUAGCCCCACGUAGAGUGCAUUGCAGUAGUCCAAGUGGGAGACAACCAGAGCAUGCACCACUCUGGCGAGACAUAGUCUAAUGUUGGCUUGUGCGCUUGACCUAAGGGUAAGAAAAGCACAAUGGUCAUUCUCAGCAACCGAACAUCAACCCCACUGCCAACCCAUACCCUCCCCACCCACCCAGCAUCCAUGUAUUCCACUGGCAUGUGCAGGGUCCCAAUCCAUACGUUUACUCAAGGAUGUGUGCGUCAAUGGGCACACAUGAAGUCCCUUCACAUACUGCCCAAGCGUUUAGGCCGUGGGGAGCACAACUGUAGCAGACGUUGGCUGUGGGGACCCUAUUUUGCAUGCUCUUAGGGCAUGGUGGGGGUCUCCAAGCCCCACUUGGUUUCUCCUUUAGGGAGUCACUUGACCUCAAAAGUUGUAUCCAGCAUCUAUCUAUCUAUCUAUCUAUCUAUCUAUCUAUCUAUACAGUGGUACCUCAGUUUACAUACGCUUCAGGUUACAUAUGCUUCAGGUUACAGACUCCGCUAACCCAGAAUUAGUACCUCGGGUUAAGAACUUUGCUUCAGGAUGAGAACAGAAAUCGCGCGGCGGCAGCAAGAGGAGGCCCCAUUAGCUAAAGUGGUGCUUCAGGUUAAGAACAGUUUCAGGUUACGAACGGACCUCUGGAACGAAUUAAGUACUUAACCUGAGGUACCACUGUAUAUCUAUCUAUCUAGCUAGCUGUCUGUCUAUCUAUCCUCUAUCUAUCUAUCUAUCUAUCUAUCUAUCUAUCCAUCUAUCGCUAUCUAGCUAUCUAGCUAUCCUCUAUCUAGCUAUCAUCUAUCUAGCUAUCUAUCAGCUAUCAGCUAUCAGCUAUCAUCUAUCUAUAUCUAUCUGUAUCUAUCUCAGGCUAACGCUGGGUUUUGUUUGCUGCUAAUUGCAAGCUUUUAAAAGUAUUUCUUGCAACCCAGAACUGCAUAGAAACACGUCUCUCUCACAUACAGAGGUGAUGCCAGAACCCUCCCGCCUGCCCCUCCCCCGGUUGCUUAACGAAGGAAUAUUUAUCAGCGAGGUUCAAAAAGGAUUCAAAGGAGCUUUGCUUUUGAAGUUAAUAUUUCUCCCACCCCGCCUCCCCACCCCCCACUCAAAAAUUAUAAUAAAAUCUCCAAAGAGCAUUUUCCAGCAAGACAAAUAUGAAGCAAGGAUGGGUUACUUUCUUGAAAAUUAAUUAUGUAUUCAGAUGCAAAUAUUGGGGGGGGGGGAGAGAGGUAUGCUAAUGCUGUCGCCUUUGAUUAUAGAAGACAGAAAAAAAGACUCUAGAUCUUUGGCUGGUUUCCCUGAGUUUAAAAAGAGUUUCCUUACAACAGACACUUUUGUCCCCGGGUUUCGCCCUGUCAGAAUGGCGUCCCUCCCCACGGCACCCCAACCCCAAGUUGGCACACUAGCUGCCGCCACUGUGAAGGAGGGUCUUUAGACUCCGUUGUCGGGUUCAAGUGGAAACGAUGCCAUUGGCUGCAAGGGAAACUGAGCUGCGUCGAGCCAAACCCUUGAGAAAGGCAUAGGGAACAAUGGCGGCUGCUCAGAACAGUGGCUACUGGGUGACUUGCCAGACUGAGGUGGUUGGUUUUUUGGGGGUAGUUUAAAGCCUUUGCCUCCCUCCUCAAUGCUAGGUAUACACUGAACGGGAGGAAGCAACAGAACCACUCUGUUCUGCCUUGGUCAGACCCCACCUGGAAUACUGUGUCCAAUUCUGGGCACCACCAUUUAAGAAGGAUGUUGACCAGCUGGAAGGUGGGCAGAGGAGGGAGACCAAGAUGAUCAAGGGUCUGGAAAGCAAGCCAUAUGAGGGACAGUUGAAGCAGCUGGGCAUGUUUAGCCUGGAAAACAGUAGUCUGAGAGGAGAUAUGAUAGCCAUCUUCAAUUAUCUUAAGGGCUGUUCUUUUGCCUUGGUCAAGCCACACCUGGAAUACUGUGUCCAAUUCUGGGCACCACAAUUUAAGAAGGAUGUUGACCAGCUGGAAGGUGGGCAGAGGAGGGAGACCAAGAUGAUCAAGGGUCUGGAAAGCAAGCCAUAUGAGGGACAGUUGAAGCAGCUGGGCAUGUUUAGCCUGGAAAACAGUAGUCUGAGAGGAGAUAUGAUAGCCAUCUUCAAUUAUCUUAAGGGCUGUUCUUUUGCCUUGGUCAAGCCACACCUGGAAUACUGUGCCCAAUUCUGGGCACCACAAUUUAAGAAGGAUGUUGACCAGCUGGAAGGUGUGCAGAGGAGGGCGACCAAGAUGAUCAAGGGUCUGGAAAGCAAGCCUGAUGAGGAACGGUUGAAGGAGCUGGGUAUGUUUAGCCUCGAUAAGAGGAGACUGAGAGGAGAUAUGAGAGCCAUCUUCAAAUAUCUUAAGGGCUGUUCUUUUGCCUUGGUCAAGCCACACCUGGAAUACUGUGUCCAAUUCUGGGCACCACAAUUGAAGAAGGAUGUUGACCAGCUGGAAGGUGUACAGAGGAGGGCGACCAAGAUGAUCAAGGGUCUGGAAAGCAAGCCUGAUGAGGAACGGUUGAAGGAGCUGGGUAUGUUUAGCCUCGAUAAGAGGAGACUGAGAGGAGAUAUGAGAGCCAUCUUCAAAUAUCUUAAGGCCUGUUCUUUUGCCUUGGUCAAACCACAUCCAGUGGCUGUGGACCUUUUAAGAUCUGAAGCCUACAUGUGCCUUGGUUUUUCUUGGUCUCAUUUCUCCCUUUAUCGAGUUACAGAUUUAUAGUACCGCCUCAGGCCUCAGACCAGUUCUGGGCAUCACAAUUUAAGAUGGAUGUUGACAAGCUGGAAGGUGUGCAGAGGAGGGAAACCGAGAUGAUCCAGGGUCUGGAAACCAAGCCUGAUGAGGAACGGUUGAAGGAUCUGGGUAUGCUUAGCCUGGAAAAGAGGAGACAGAGAGGAGAUACGAUAGCCAUCUUCAAAUAUUUUAAGGGCUGUCACGUGGAGGAGGGAACAAGCUUGUUUAGUAUUGCUCUGAAAUGUAGGACCCGAACCAAUGGCUUCAAGUUACAAUAAAGGAGAUUCUGACUCCACAUAAUAAUAAUAAUAAUAAUAAUAAUAAUAAUAAUAAUAAUACAGUGGUACCUUGGGUUACAGACCCUUCAGUUUCAGAUGCUUCAGGUUACAGACUCCUCUAACAGAGAAAUAGUACCUUGGGUUAAGAGCUUUGCUUCAGGAUGAGAACAGAAAUUGCACAGCGGCAGCAGCGGGAGGCCCCAUUAGCUACAGUGGUACCUCAGGUUAAGAACAGUUUCAGGUUAAGAACGGACCUCCAGAACAAAUUAAGUUCUUAACCUGGGGUACCACAAUAAUAAUAAUAAUAAUAAUAAUAAUAAUAAUAAUAAUAAUAAUAAAUAAAAUAAAAAUACCCCACCCAUCUGGCUAGGUUUCCCCAGCCACUCUGGGCAGCUUCCAACAAAACACUAAAAUAUAAUAACCUCUUAAACAUUAAAAGCUUCCCUAAACAGGGCUGCCUUCAGAUGUCUUCUAAAAGUUUGGUAGUUAUUUUUCUCUUUGACAUCUGGUGGGAGGGCGUUCCACAGGGCGGGUGCCACUACCAAGAAGGCCCUACUUCACUACCGAGAAUCGGGGGGGGGGGGCAGAACCUGGAGCAGGAAUAGGGAGGAGCAACUGGGCUUUCAAGUGGCUUCAGGGGGGUGACAAGAGUCCCCCUACUGGGGUGCAAUGAGUCUCUGAUGAGACCAAGCAUAGUAGCAACAGCUAUCGUUAGGAAGAAAGGUCCUGACGGACGGUUUCCUGUUAGGAUUCGGCCGGCCGUCCAUUUCCAGCUGCCUUUUCUGCUUAGACACAUCAUGGAUGUUCAGAGGCACCUUUGAUCACCGCCGUCCACCGCACCCGGUGACAAUCGAUUCCCCCCACCCCACUUCCUUUGUGUCUCCACCCCACCCUUGGCAGGCGAGCGUUUUCGCAGAAGCUCUGAAAGAUUAAUGGGGAAGGUGUGGGUGACUGGCUGGCGUGGCGCUGGGGGUGGUGAGUGAGAGCUUUUCCUUCUGAUGGGAAAAUUAAUUAUUCACCACCCAAAGGAGAAGGAAGGCGAGGGGAGUCGGGCGGCAGGAGGAGUCCAGGCUGAGGAGUCUUCAAAACGAGCCUGACAGCAUGUCCUUGGAGAAGGUUGGUUGUUGGAAAGAGAGGAACAAGGGAGUCUUCGGAGGAUGGACCAGGAAGACAGGAGAGGGAAUAGCGGGAGAUAGACUAGGCAGAAUUGGAGCCCCAGGGAGUGUUUUCAAGGCCAGCCGCCAGUGAGGGACACAACAAGUCACUUUCUGUUUCUCGUUCUCCAGAUUUCCACAACAUUCUACAGGGGAGUGGACAGAUAGAUAAUUUAUUAUGGUGAAAGACCAGCUCACGUAACAUAACACAAUAAAAGCAACAAUAAAAACACACACACAAAAAUUUAACAUAAAAAUAAAAUAUACAAUCGGAGCAGAUUGCAGCAAUAGCUCAAGAGUUAAAAUUGAGAUAUAUACAUACACCCGUACAACUGAGAUUUGUGUUUUUUGAGGAGUGUUUUUGGGGAUCCACCAGCCUUUUAGUGCAGAAUUAUCCAGAUAUACGCAUGUUUUGCAUACCAAUACCAUCCCCCCCCCCUUUGGACGCAGGUGGCGCUGUGGUCUAAACCACUGAGCCUCUUGGGCUUGCCAAUUGGAAGGGUGGUGGUUUGAAUCCCUGCGACAGAGUGAGCUCCCGUUGCUCUGUCCCAGCUCCUGCCAACAUAGCAGUUCGAAAGCACGCCAGUGCAAGUAGAUAAAUAGGUACCACUGCGGUGGGAGGGUAAACAGCAAUUCAUGCGCUCUGGCAAGACCGACUGGGACAACUUGACGUGCACACAAGGCCUGAAUAAAGAGUUAAUUUCCCGGACACCUUGUGAGUCUUUGCUGACCACUGCCUUGACACCACAGAACCAUGGGGAAGGUGGAUUUUGGGGUCCCUGGUGACAAUUUGGGAACAGCCUUGUGAUCUUCGGGUGAAGGGCAGCGUGCAGAUUUAGUAAAUAAAAUAAAUACAGUGGUACCUCUGGUUGCGAAUGGGAUCCAUUCCGAAGCCCCAUUCGCGACAUGAGCAGAAUGCAACCCGCGUGCAAGGGUCACGAUUCGCCAUUUCUGCGCAUGAUGUCAUUUUGAGCGUCUGCGCAUGCGCGAGCGGUGAAACCCGGAAGUAACCCUUUCCGGUACUUCCGGGUCGCCGCGGGACGCAACCUGAAAAGAUCUAUCCUGAAGCAAGCGUAACAAAAGGUAUGACUGUAAGUACCGUAUUUUUCACUCUAUAAGGCGCACCAGACCACAAGACGCACCUAGUUUUUGGAGGAGGAAAACAAGAAAAAAAAUAUUCUGAAUCUCAGAAGCCAGAACAACAAGAGGGAUAGCUGCGCAGUGAAAGCAGCAAUCCCUCUUGCUGUUCUGGCUUCUGGGAUAGCUGCGCAGCCUGCAUUCGCUCCAUAAGACGCACACACAUUUCCCCUUACUUUUUAGGAGGGGGAAAGUGAGUCUUAUAGAGCAAAAAAUACGGUAAAUUUGGGGUUUGGCCCGUGGCGCAUCUGUUGCAACACUUUUCAUUAGGAACUGAAUGGGGGUGGGGGUGGAGAUUAUCACCCGGAGUCUAUGAAAACAGCCCUACGCACGAGGCAGCCAUAUGCUCCAACAGCCACCAGAAUUAAGUGUCUCUACUUAGAAAGGGUUGGGAGUCCCCCGAGGUUAAUUAGCAAAUGCAGCUCAGCUGCGGAAAACCUUGUAAGAACGCAUCGGCAUCUUCGAGAAGCCCAGCAUAGGAUUACUACAAAAUAGGCAGGAACCCUUCUGAAUUAGCAGCGUGUAGUGCACGGCCUGUUUCAUCCACACUCGGAGCUUGGAACAUUUCGGCCUUAGCUGGUCUAGUUGCCCAUUGCAAACCUCACCAUUUCUUUAAAAAGAAGAAGAAGAAGAGUUUGGAUUUGAUAUCCCGCUUUAUCACUACCCAAAGGAGUCUCAAAGCGGCUAACAUUCUCCUUUCCCUUCCUCCCCGACAACAAACACUCUGUGAGGUGAGUGGGGCUGAGAGACUUCAGAGAAGUGUGACUGGCCCAAGGUCACCCAGCAGCUGCAGGUGGAGGAGCGGGGAAGCGAACCCGAUUCACCAGAUUACGAGUCCACCACUCUAAACCACUACAACCACACUGGUCUCGGGUGCGGGAGGUGAUUCGAUAACCUUUUCUACGUAGCGAUAACAACACAGUCCCUCGUAACGCGGGGUGCAGUUUUUUAAAGCACAGCAUGUAUAUCAGCACACAAAACUCAUGGAAUCGUAGAGUUGGAAGGGACACCCCCACCCCUGAGUAAUUUUUAUCAUUGUAUUAUUUAUUGAAUUUAUAUACCGCCCUAUAACCAGGGGAAGGGGCGCGGGUGGCGCUGUGGGUUAAACCACAGAGCCUAGGACUUGCCGAUCAGAAGGUCGGCGGUUCAAAUCCCUGCGACGGGGUGAGCUCCUGUUGCUCGGUCCCUGCUCCUGCCAACCUAGCAGUUCGAAAGCACGUCAAAGUGCAAGUAGAUAAAUAAGUACCACUCCGGCGGGAAGGUAAAUGGCGUUUCCGUGCGCUGCUCUGGUUCGCCAGAAGUGGCUUAGUGAUGCUGGCCACAUGACCCGGAAGCUGUACGCCAGCUCCCUCGGCCAAUAAAGCGAGAUGAGCAUCGCAACCCCAGAUUCGGUCACGACUGGACCUAAUGGUUAGGGGUUCCUUUACCUUUACCUUUAAUACCCGGGGGGGGCCUCAGGGUGGUUCACAGAAUAAAAUCAAGAUGUAUAACCAUAAAAUACAUAAUAAAAAUAAAAACAACAACCCAAUAGCCAACCCCCCCCAAAAAAAUAACAUUUUACAAGGGCGUAGGGAUGUAAAUCAGAUCUGCAGGGGGUCUUCGCCGCAGGAUCACAUUCACCCGGUGCUAUACCAGCUGCACUGGCUCCCGGUGGACUACAGGGUCAGGUUUAAGGUGCUGGUUUUAACCUUUAAAGCCCUAUAUGGCCUAGGACCCUCAUACCUACGGGACCGUCUCUCCUGGUAUGCCCCACGAAGGACCUUAAGGUCUGCAAAUAAUAACACCCUAAGAUCCCAGGCCCCAGGGAGAUUAGACUGGCCUCGACCAGAGUCAGGGCCUUUUCGGCCAUGGCCCCUGCCUGGUGGAACGCUCUCUCAGAAGAGACCAUGGCCCUGCGGGAUUUGACAUCUUUCCGCAGGGCCUGCAAGAUGGAGCUGUUCUGCCAGGCCUUUGGUCAGGGUUCAGUCUGAAUCUUUUCUUUCCUAGCCCACUCACAGGUCCUUUAUAAGACCAGUGGUAACAGUUGGCCCUGGAGAAUAUUAACCACUCCCUAUUUUACCCGUGGACUGCCAUCUGUCCAGAUUUUAAUUUGCUCUGAACUAAUUUUAAGAUAUAUUUUAAUUAAUUGAUUGCCUGUUUUUAUGUUCUUUGUAGGCUGUGCUAGUUUUAUGAUGUUAGCUGCCCUGAGCCCAGCUCUGGCCGGGGAGGGCGGGGUACAAAUAAAUUAUUAUUAUCAUCAUCAACCAAAGGCCUGGUUAAAAAGGAACAUUUUUGCCUGGCGCCUAAAGUUGUAUAAUGAAGGCGCCAGGUGAACUUCACUGGGGAGAGCGUUCCACAAACAAGGAGCCACUGCAAAGAAGGCCCCGUUCUCGUGUUGCCACCCUCCGGACCUCUUGGAAAUGUCGUCCAACCCCCUGCAAUGCAGGAAUGAGAGCAGAACCCACCCACCCCCCUGAAAUAUGGCUAUCCGACCUGUUAAAAAAUAUUCCAAGGAAGGAGAGUCCACAACCUCCCGAGGGAGUCUGUUCCACUGCCCAAUGUCUCCUACCAUCAGAAGGUUUUUCCUGAUUUUGGGUCGGAAUCUCCUUUCUCCUUUCCCGUCCUUUGAAUUCAUUAGUUCAAGUCCGACCCUCUGGAGCAGCAGAAAAUAAGCUUGCUCCACCUCACCCUCAAGGUAUGUAAGAAGUUGGAAUAAUCUGUUGUGUUCAACCAGAGGAAAGUCAUUGUUAACAUUUACUAAAGAUUGGAAAACCCUUAUAGAUUUUUUGCGCGAAGAAAAGUGAACCGACUUCAGGCUGGAGAUAAUGUUGGUUUACAUAAAGUGGUUUUGUUAGGUGUAAUAGCGGAGUGGGUGGGUUUAAUAACGUUUAUAAAUAGCUGAUAGACCAGGAAUCUGAAGUUGUUUAUUUUCCUUUAUUUAAUUCCCCCCCCCUUAUUUCUUCUCUAUUUUCCUCUUUCCUCUCUACAAUGGUUGGUUCUCGAACUUACCGUAUUUUUUGCUCUGCAAGACUCACUUUUUCCCUCCUAAAAAGUAAGGGGAAAUGUGUGUGCGUCUUAUGGAGCGAAUGCAGGCUGCGCAGCUAUCCAGAAGCCAGAACAGCAAGAGGGAUCGCUGCUUUCACUGCGAUCCCUCUUGCUGUUCUGGCUUCUGAGAUUCAGAUUUUUUUUUCUUGUUUUCCUCCUCCAAAAACUAGGUGCAUCUUGUGGUCUGGUGUGUCUUAUAGAGCGAAAAAUAUGGUAAUCUGUUCCGGGAGUCCGUUCGACUCCCUAAACCAUUCGAAAACCAAGGCGCGGCUUCUGAUUGGCUGCAGGAACUUCCUGAACUCAAACGGAAGCCGUGUCGGAAAUUCGGCUUCUGAAAAACAUUCGAAAACUGGAACACAUCCAUCCGGAUUUGCGGCGGUCAGGAGCCGAUUUGUCCAGGAGCCAAGCCAUUUGACAACCACUAUAUCUUUCUUUCCUUUUCUUUAUCUCUCUCUCUCUCUCUGGCUUGUGCUUUGAUCUAGAUUAACGUUCUACUUUUGAUGUAUAAAAAAUAUAUUUGAUCAUUUCUUUAUAGCUUUUUCUAAAUCCCAAUUUAUUAAAGGGGGAAAAAUCUGGUGUGGUGGGAGGUAUAAUGAAGGCUUGCUUGGGUAUACGUGCAAAAGACUUCAACAAUAUAAGCAAUCGGAGCCAGUGUAGCGUAGUGGUUAGAGUGUUGGACUAGGACCUGCGAGGUCGAGGGUUCAAAUCCCCACUCAACCACUAAGCUCCACCUUGGACCAGUCACUGCCUCUCAGCCUAACUUACUUCACAGGGUGUAGGGUAAAGGGAUGCGGGUGGCGCUGUGGUCUAAACCACUGAGCCUCUUGGGCUUGCCGAUCGGAAGGUCAGUGGUUCGAAUCCCCACAACUGAGUGAGUUCCCAUUGCUCUGUCCCAGCUCUGGCCAACCUAGCAGUUCGAAAGCACGCCAGUACAAGGAGAUAAAUAGACACCGCUAUGGCAGGAAGGUAAACAGCAUUUCCGUGUGCUCUGGUUUCCAUCACGGUAUCCCAUUGCGCCAGAAGUGGUUUAGUCCUGCUGGUCACAUGGCCCGGAAAGCUGUCUACGGACAAACGCUGGCUUCCUCGACCUGAAAGCAAGAUGAGCGCCGCAACCCCGUAGUUGCCUUGGACUGGACUUAACCAUCCUGGGGUCCUUUACUUUACCUUUACCUACCUCGCAGGGUAGGAUAAAAUGGAGCCGGAAAACUAUGUACGCGCCUUGAAGGAAAAUUGGGAUGUAAAUAAAAUAUAACAAAAUAAAACCUGCAGCAAAGCUUCACGGGGCCUUCUGGCUCCCGAUCAGAGACCUGACUUGGUGGGUCCUGCUGAGAGGAGAACGGGCAUCAUGAAUACAGAUUUAGCUAGAAUUCAGAUUUAGCCCUCUGGUGGGAGGGUGUUCCACAGGGCGGGUGCCACUACCAAGAAGGCCCUCUGCCUGGUUCCCUGUAACUUGGCUUCUCACAGGGAGGGAACCACCAGAAGGCCCUCGGCGCUGGACCUCAGUGUCAGGGCAGAACAAUGGGGAUGGAGACGCUCCUUCAGAUAUAUUGGACCGAGGCCGUUUAGGGCUUUAAAGGUCAGCACCAACACUUUGAACUGUGCUCGGAAACAUACUGGGAGCCAAUGUAGGUCUUUCAAGACCAAUGUUAUGUGGUCUCGGCAGCCGCUCCCAGUCACCAGUCUUGCUGCCGCAUUCUGGAUUAGUUGUAGUUUCUGGGUCACCUUCAAAGGUAGCCCCACAAAGUUACAAAAGUAUAAAAACAGGUUUACCCCAUAUGUGGGUUUACCUAAUGACUGCACUUAGCAGUCCGGGAAGUUCGCAGGAUGAAAGGAAGAUGGAAAAGAGGGAGAGUGGCAGCAUGCCUUGUCCUUUUACCAGGUCUGGAAAGGUCACGCCCAACCACUAGUCACAUGCAAGGAAAGAUGCUCCAGGCCAGGAGGAACAGGAAGUUUCGACUGGCUGGACCAAACAUUCCCUUGCAUGUCCACUCUAGGAAAACAAGGAAUGUUGUACUUGACUGCUCUCAGUGGAUUACAUCCAGCACUCAUCUCUCCUAUAAUUCCACUUCAUGUGGGGUUUAUAAAGGUCCUCUUCCCUGUGCAGUCUUCUUCAGAUUUAAAGAAGCAACUGAAAUUUCAAGAAGCGACCGAAAAGCCAUCAAUUUCUAAUUUAUAACAAACACGGGAAGAAAUAGAGAAGGGUCAUAAAACAAUGAAAUGAGCGUUCCGUGUGAUGGAGGAUACAUGGAACUUUUUAUCCCCGGCAAUAAAGCAAGCAACUUGCCAGGAGAUCUUAGGGCCGUCAAUCACGGGGUUUUAGGUGCUAUUUAAAAAUAAAAUCUCUCCCGCACAGUCUUCCCACAGACUGCUGCUGAUGGUGUGGAGAGGCCAGUUGUCCGAAUUAAAGAGGGAGACACUGUUGAGAACCUUUCCUAUUAAAAGCAAGCCACUGUUUGAUAAAUACAGUAAACCUUUUGGGUUCUGUAGGGUUUUACAGGUGCUCAGAGCACACUGAAAAGAUUAUUUCCAUAAACUCCAGGUAAAUCUAUUAGCUACUAUUAGCUGCUGUUGUACAGGGGGGCGGGAUGGCUAUUGAGCUGAGCUUAGGGAUGGGGGAGCAAUUCAGUUUGCAUUUAAAGGCAAACCUGUUUAAUUUGCACUUUCCAGAACAAACUGGAGCACCAUUCGUUUCAGCCGUUCUUUUCAAAUUUGCACUUCUCUGAAUUUCGCAAUGUAGUCCUCAAGCAGAGUAAUGUGUAAGAAAAUGCAUAUGCAUGGGUAAAGUGUCCACAAAAACAUGCCUCGGUCCAGUAUACCUGAAGGAGCUUCUCCACCCUCAUAGUUCAGCCCAGACACUGAGGUCCAGCGCCGAGGGCCUUCUGGCGGUUCCCUCGCUGCGAGAAGUGAGGUUACAGGGAACCAGGCAGAGGGCCUUCUCGGUAGCAGCGCCCACCCUGUGGAACGCCCUUCCUUCAGAUGUCAAAAAGAAAAACAACUACCAGACUUUUAGAAGACAUCUUAAGGCAGCCCUGUUUAGGGAAGCUUUUAAUGUUUGCUGGAUUACUGUAUUUUACUAUUUUGUCGGAAGCCGCCCAGAGUGGCUGGGGAAGCCCAGCCAGAUGGGCGGGGUAUAAAUAAUAAAUUAUUAUUAUUAUUAUUAUUAUUAUUGGCAAAAAUAAUUUACAGCAGUGCAUUGUAUUUGGGGAAAGUGUUUUGCAAUACAUAUAUAUAUUUGUUUGUUAGGAAAAGUUUGCAUGCAAAAAUUGAAGGGUUCUCACGACGAAAUGUGGAUAAUUUAAGACUUGGAAAGUAAGAAACUUGGAAAACUGAAAAUUGGCCUAUUUGUUCAUCCGUGGCUGAGACUGACAAUAGAAUUGUAGAGUUGGAAGGGACCCCAAGGGUCAUCUAGCCCAACCCCCUGAAACAGCCAGUUAUUUAUUUGGUUCCCCUUUCCCCAAGGAGCUUAGGGAAGCCUAUAGGGUGUCUCCUGCACAUUUUGGUUUUAUUAUAUAUUUUCCAUACUCAUUUUGCAUUUUUAUGUUGUGAACCGCACUGUGAUCUUUGGAGGAAGGGCAGUAGAUAAAUUUAAUAAAUAAUAAAAACAAAACAAUAAUUACAGCAAACUUGUGAGUUGACUGAGGAAGAGUGACUGGGUUGGGGACACCCGAGGAGUUUUAUGGUUGUGCGCAUCAUGUCACGAGCUGCUAGGCUGGCAUGAGACUCCUCCAUGUGGUGAACCACUGAACUACAGGCAAUAGCCUUCCCAGUAAAAAGGUAAAGGUAAAGGACCCCUGGACGGUUAAGUCCAGUCAAAGGCGACUCUGGCGUUGCAGAGCUCAUCUCGCUUUCAGGCCAAGGGAGCCAGCAUUUGUCCGCAGACAGCUUUCCGGGUCAUGGGGCCAGCAGGACUAAACUGCUUCUGGUGCAACGGGACACCGUGAUGGAAACCAGAGCACACGGAAACAUCGUUUACCUUCCCGCCGCAGCAGUACCUAUUUAUCUACUUGCGCUGGCGUGCUUUCGAACUGCUAGGUUGGCAGGACACCGUGACGGAAACCAGAGAGCACAAAAAUGCCGUUUACCUUCCCGCUACAGCGGUACCCAUUUAUCUAAUUGCAGAAGAAGAAGAAGAAGGUGUGUCACACGAAUGCUCCCCGUGUUCCGCCCCGGCUGGAAAGGGGUUAGUUUAAACUCUGGUUUGCUAGCAAAACUGAAUUACCAUGUCACGAAAUGACGCUUGUCCAAAAAGUGUGUCACGAACAUGAGAAGUUUGGAAAGCUCUGCCCUAAGCCAUGAUUUUGCUAGCUGGAAGUGCUCUCUAUGUAUUUGAAAACUUUCCCCAAAAGACUUUUUCCCAAAGUCUGGAUCCUUGCAGGGACAUCUGACUCUGCCGUCUGAGCUGUCAUUUGAUGGGCCUUGAUCUUCAGAGGCAUUCAAUCCAAGCUGGUAGUGGAGCCUCUCUCGGGGGCGGGGGGCGGACUGGCGUCUCCUUCCCUUUGCGAUUCCAUCCAUCUAUCUCCCACGUUGCGCUGACGCCUCCUUUUGUCAAAGCAAUUUCCAUUUGCUCUGUCGGAAGGCAAAGAACUGCCAUCGAAUCAUGGGAGGUUUGUCACUGCGGGUCUAAUUAACAAUCGCGCAGAGGGUUUCUCUGCCUUGACGUAAGAGCAAGAGAAAUGAGGGUGUGCCGAUUUGUUUCCACACACAGAACUGAGCAACCGCUAGGAUCUUGUGAAAAUGUUUGCAGACCGUUUCGGACGCUGCGGAAGUGAGUGUGGCGGGUUGGCUCUUUUGGGAAACGAGAGAGGCACUUCAAGGCCAGGGGAGGGAUGUUUGCCGGGACUUCCCCUUAUAGUUGGUCUUUGACUGGACUUAACCAUCCAGGGGUCCUUUGUUCUUGUUGUCGUUUAGUCGUUUAGUCGUGUCCGACUCUCCGUGACCCCCUGGACCAGAGCACACCAGGCACUCCUGUCUUCCACUGCCUCCCGCAGUUUGGUCAAACUCAUGUUGGUAGCUUCGAGAACACUGUCCAACCAUCUCGUCCUCUGUCGUCCCCUUCUCCUUCUGCCCUCCAUCUUUCCCAGCAUCAGGGUCUUUUCCAGGGAGUCUUGUCUUCUCAUGAGGUGGCCAAAGUCUUGGAGCCUCAGCUUCAGGAUCUGUCCUUCCAGUGAGCACUCAGGGCUGAUUUCCUUCAGAAUGGAGAGGUUUGAUCUUCUUGCAGUCCAUGGGAAUCUCAAGAGUCUCCUCCAGCACCAUCAUUCAAAAGCAUCCAUUCUUCAGCGAUCAGCCUUCUUGAUGGUCCAGCUCUCACUUCCAUACAUUACUACUGGGAAAACCAUAGCUUGAAUUAUACGGACCUUUGUGGGCAAGGUGAUGUCUCUGCUAUGCUUUUUAAGAUGCUGUCUAGGUUUGUCAUUAGGGGUCCUUUACCUUCACCUAUAUGUGAUUGCAGCCUAAGAUGGUGGCCUUCUAGCUAUUCCUGGACUUCACCUCCUGCCAGUCCUAGCCAGGAAUUAUGGGAGUUGGAGUCCAGGAACAUCCAGAGGGCUUCAGUUUCCCCAUCCGUCCCUGGCCUAAGCUUUAGCUUUCAACUCAGCACAGCCCCUAGGGAAUCCCUGACCCGCUAGGAUCCUUAAUUCACACAGGAAGCUGCUCUGUAUCCAUCAAACUCAUUAUUGUCUAUCCUGAUUGAUGCUAACUUUUUUUAAAAAAAUCCUUUAUUAUUUUAUUCACAUAAUAUACAUUCUUUACAACAAACAACUCCAAAAUAAACAGACAACUCCAAAAUAGCUUCUUGGGGUCUCAGUUGCUAAUACAACCCAUCUGAUCCUUUAGUCUUUGCGUGAGCUAAAAGUCCCCCACACCAAGUCCAUUUCCCCCUGCUUUCCAACCCACUAUCUGGUCCAGAUCUCUUUCCUUAGUCUCCAGGGACGCGGGUGGCACUGUGUUCUAAACCACCGAGCCUCCUAGGCUUACCAAUUGGAAGGUCAGUGGUUUGAAUCCCCGCGACGGGGUGAGCUCCUGUUGCUCAGUCCCAGCUCCUGCCAAUCUAGCAGUUCGAAAGCACACCAGUGCAAGUAGAUCAAUAGGUACCACUGUGGCAGGAAAAUAAAUGGUUUUCAUGCACUCUGGCUUCCAUCACGGUGUCCCGUUGCGCCAGAAGUGGUUUCGUCCUGCUGGCCACAUGACCUGGAAAGCUGCCUGUGGAUAAACGCUGGUUCCCUCGGCCUGAAAGUGAGAUGAGCGCUGCAACCCCAUAGUCUCCUCUAACUGGACUUAACCAUCCAGGGGUCCUUUGUUGUUGUUGUUUAGUCGUUUAGUUGUGUCUGACUCUUCGUGACCCCAUGGACCAGAGCACGCCAGGCACUCCUGUCUUCCACUGCCUCCCGCAGUUUGGUCAAACUCAUGCUGGUAGCUUCGAGAACACUAUCCAACCAUCUCGUCCUCUGUCGUCCCCUUCUCCUUGUGCCCUCCAUCUUUCCCAGCAUCAGGGUCUUUUCCAGGGAGUCUUCUCUUCUCAUGAGGUGGCCAAAGUCUUGGAGCCUCAGCUUCAGGAUCUUCCAGUGAGCACUCAGGGCUGAUUUCCUUCAGAAUGGAGAGGUUUGAUCUUCUUGCAGUCCAUGGGACUCUCAAGAGUCUCCUCCAGCACCAGAAUUCAAAAGCAUCCAUUCUUCAGCGAUCAGCCUUCUUGAUGGUCCAGCUUUCACUUCCAUACAUACCAGGUGUCCUUUACCUUAUACCUUUACCUUAGCCUCCAUCACUUCUGGAAUCUCUUCCCCUCUACCUUCCUGCACUACUAACAUUUCCUGCCACCAACAUGUACAGUAGCUCCUCUCAUGUCUAGGUGUGUGAGGUUUACCAGCCAAACUGACCAUUUCCUUCCCUCACAGGAGCUAAACUACAAUCAGGAGCUGCCUGAGCUAGGAACAUAGAACCCACCAAUUUAUGUGCUGCUGCCCUAAGUGGUAAAACAGUAACACUACAGAUUAGAACAUUCCCACCGCCCAGAGCGGUAUAUAAUAGAUUAUAUAUCGUUUUAAUUCCACAUCCCUUUUUCCUUGUUUCUUAGGGACUUUUGUUUUAAUUGAUUGUAGAUAUACAGCCCUGCAAGUUCUUUUUAGCUGAGGAGUAAUGGAAAGGGGGAGCUCCAGUUCAAUAAAUAAAAUAUCAGCAUGAUCUGCCUCUAGGGACAGAGGAGGAAUGUGAUUCGGUGUAUCUGCCGUAUUUGAAUCUACCUUUCCAAACACACGCAAAAACCGAAACACAGUCAUCCUUCACACUUCUCCACAUUUUGAAAUGUGGCUCUCCGGCUAAGUAAAGUGUGCAUAAAAAUGCAUUGAUUGGUGACAAAAGAGCAUAAAGUACAUUAUUGUUAUUUUGUAUAUUUUUUCUUUCUUUUCAAGUAUAAUAUCUAGGUAAAGAAUAAUAAAGACGUCUUCAGCAGUACAGAUAUGUGUCAUUUUUGAAUCUGUAACAGUUAUUUCAAAGGUUGAUGUAUAUACAGUGGUACCUCGGGUUAAGAACUUAAUUUGUUCUGGAGGCCCGUUCUUAACCUCAAACUGUUCUUAACCUGAGGUACCACUUUAGCUAAUGGGGUCUCCCGCUGCCGCCGUGCGAUUUCUGUUCUCAUCCUGAGGUAAAGUUCUUAACUUGAGGUACUAUUUCUGGGUUAGCGGAGUCUGUAACCGGAAGCGUCUGUAAACCGAGGUACCACCGAACAAUGCAUCCAGUAACAAUAGAACAAAUUACUAUUUACCCUCCUCCCAAAAGAAGACAUAAAAUGUAUUAUAUUAGGGGAAAUUGCUCUGGGAGGGUGGAAUGCGUUCAUUGGGCAAAUUUUCAUACAAACAUGUAUACUAAGAUAAAUUUUCACUAAACUGCUGGUGAAUUUUCAUGAAGUUUCAUGAAGUUUUAUUAACACACCAAAACACCCCAAAACUGAUGUGAACUGAACUUACAAUUGGGAAAAUGAGAAACAGGGAGAAAACUUGCACAUUCACCAAUCCCUAUACAGUGGUACCUCUGGAUACAUACGCUUCAGGUUACAGACGCUUCAGGUUACAGACUCCGCUAACCCAGAAAUAUUGCUUCAGGUUAAGAACUUUGUUUCAGGAUGAGAACAGAAAUCGGGCAGUGGUGGCAGAAGCGGGAGGCCCCAUUAGCUAAAGUGGUGCUUCAGGUUGAGAACAGUUUCAGGUUAAGUACGGACCUCCGGAACGAAUUAAGUACUUAACCUGAGGUACCACUGUACCAGAAAUCUCUCCCUAUCUGAGGAGCUCGGUCAUACGGUUGUGAGGAAUUCUUCGCCCAAAAAACUCUUCCCACAAGUCUCGCUUUACGUUGUUGUCGCUCCUGCAUUUUUCUCUCCAUUCAGUCCCUUUUCUCUUUCCGUUCCUCUCUUUCCUGACUCGUUUCCUUUUAAAAAAUUGCAUAAUUAAUCAGUCGUAAUAAGACAUCUCUUGAGGGGAGAGGUUAUGGGGUGGGGGUUGAAACUGCCACAUUCUCCAGCGAGCGCAGGAGACAAGAUUUAACAGAGUGUGCCAAAAUUGGCUAAACAGCGCCAGAAAGGAUUAGCUAAAAUAACAAAAUAAAACAGAAAAAAUCCACCUCUUUGGAAUAUAUAACUUCUUUACAAGAGAGCUGCUGUUACAUAGCUCAGAGUUCGCCAAAAAGCCUUGGAGACAGGCCAGGAAACAGAUUAGGGGUGGAAUGAGAUUCUACACCGAAUGUUUUACCUCUGCUUUGUCCAGAGCUGUGCUGUUGUCGCUCCCUGCCCUUGCCCCUUGUUAACGGGAAAAUCCAAGGGCUCCCUUGGACAAAAACAAAGACACCAACCAGGAUAAUUUGGAGCAAAACAGCAGCCUAUAGGCUUGGCCUUUAUUGAACUGUUGCAACAGGGUGCUCCCCUCACUUGCAGGAGAGAGGAAGGACCCAGAAAGAUGGUGUGCAAGACCUUAUAAAAACUUUUGAAAUUGCCACCCUGUAGAUCAAGACCACCCCCAGAAACAUCAUACAUACAUCACAGAAGGGGUGUAACCUAAGACCACCUCCCCCAGAUACAUCACACCUGCAUCACAGAAAAGGCGGUCUAAAACAGAAAUUUGAAUACUGUUUUUCUCCUGUUGUUGUUUAUCUCCUGUCUGGCAGGUUACUUGAUUGGAUUGCCUGGGGAGCCUGGCCAGUCUUUUGUAAUGAUAAAUACUUAGUUCCUGGGCCAGGUCACAGGCUCACACCCUAUUCAAACACAGACAUACCCUUAAGACAGGAUUUGUGAAGGAAAAGACAAUCGGGAGGCUUUUCCAGUUUGACCUUGCAGAGAAAACAUUGGCUCAGUUUAGGAAUCAAAAUGGUUCCAGGUUGGCCUUCCUGUGCUGAUCUAUGUAUGUGCUUGAUUGGUAUAGUUAUGAACAUUACCAUAUAUCUAAUGGACUCAAGGGCAACCUGAUCAAAUUUGCAGAUGACACCAAACUGGGAGGGGUGGCUAACACCCCAGAGGACAGGAUCACACUUCAAAACGACCUUGACAGAUUAGAGAACUGGGCCAAAACAAACAAGAUGAAUUUUAACAGGGAGAAAUGUAAAGUAUUGCACUUGGGCAAAAAAAAUGAGAGGCACAAAUACAAGAUGGCUGACACCUGGCUUGAGAGCAGUACAUGUGAAAAGGAUCUAGGAGUCUUGGUUGACCACAAACUUGACAUGAGCCAACAGUGUGACGCGUCAGCUAAAAAAGCCAAUGCAAUUCUGGGCUGCAUCAAUAGGAGUAUAGCAUCUAGAUCAAGGGAAGUAAUAGUGCCACUGUAUUCUGCUCUGGUCAGACCUCACCUGGAGUCCAGUUCUGGGCACCACAGUUCAAGAAGGACACUGACAAACUGGAAGGUAUCCAAAGGAGGGCAACCAAAAUGGUCAAAGGCCUGGAAACGAUGCCUUAUGAGGAACGGCUAAGGGAGCUGGGCAUGUUUAGCCUGGAGAAGAGGAGGUUAAGGGGUGAUAUGAUAGCCAUGUUCAAAUAUAUCAAAGGAUGUCACAUAGAGGAGGGAGAAAGGUUGUUUUCUGCUGCUCCAGAGAAGUGGACACGGAGCAAUGGAUCCAAACUACAAGAAAGAAGAUUCCACCUAAACAUUAGGAAGAACUUCCUGACAGUAAGAGCUGUUUGACAGUGGAAUUUGCUGCCAAGGAGUGUGGUGGAGUCUCCUUCUUUGGAGGUCUUUAAGCAGAGGCUUGACAACCAUAUGUCAGGAGUGCUCUGAUGGUGUUUCCUGCUUGGCAGGGGGUUGGACUCAAUGGCCCUUGUGGUCUCUUCCAACUCUAUGAUUCUAUGAUUCUAUGAUUCUAAGACCAUAAAAUUCCUAUCACACCCUCGUGAUCGAACAUCUCCAUUUGCAGACGAGAAAUCAAGAGUGGGGGGAACUUCAGAGGCUGGGGAAAACAACCAGUUGCGCUGCUGAUUCAGCCUCUAUUUGGCAAGCAGCAGCCAUUUCUCUCCCAGAAUGCUUCUUGGAAUAACAAAGCAGCGAAAACGGAUCCCUGAAACCGGGGGCUGAUUUGGUGAAUGGACAUGAAAAUUUGCUGAGAUUUUGGAGCGCGGCUGUAGUCCUUGUUGCACUCAAAGGGAUGCCCUCAGAUUCCUGGGUGUACUCUUUAGUGAAAAAGGGCAGAGGGACUUCUCGGUGGUGGCGCCCGCCCUGUGGAAUGCCCUCCCGUCAGAUAUCAAGGAAAUAAACAACUAUCUGACUUUUAGAAGACCUCUGAAGGCAGCCCUGUUUAGGGAAGUUUUUAAUGUUUGAUAUUUUAUCACCUCUUCUUCUUCUUCUUCUUCUUCUUCUUCUUCUGCUGCUGCUGCUGCUGCUGUUGGGAACUGCCUGGAGUCCAGGCUGGGGAAACCCAGCCAGAUGGGUGGGGUAUAAAUAAAUUAUUAUUAUUAUUAUUAUUAUUAUUAGUCUCUUAGAAGUGUCAUAUGGAGGCACUGAAAGUCAGGGAACAGAAAACCAUAGGGACAUUGUUGAAGUGCCAUUAUUAAUUAAUUAAUUAAUUAAUUAAUUAAAUUUGCAUACCGCCCUAUACCCUUGGGUCUUAGGGCAGUUGACAAAACAAAGUUACAAUAUGAAAAUACCAAAAUACAUAAUAAAAAUAAUUAGAAUGGUUAACAAUACCAAAGAAUACAAACCCAUAAAAAUACACACACACACCCAACAAAAGCCCCUCCGCAAAUACAACCCCCCAGCCCACAAGUACAAAAACAAGAAUCCAAAUUAACAUGCAGUUGUACCUUGGAUCCCAAACGCGUUGUGAGUUGAACAUUUUGGCUGCCGAACGCUGCAAACCUGGAAGUGAGUGUUCCGGUUUGCGAACGUUCUUUGGAACCUGAACGUCCGAUGGAAGCCGUGCCUUGGUUGUCGUACCUUGGAAGUCAAAUGGAAUCCAUUCCAGAAGUCCAUUCGACUUCCUAAACGUUUGGAAACCAAAGCACGGCUUCUGAUUGGCUGCAGGAAGUUCCUGCAGCCAAUUGGAAGCCGAGCCGGACGUUCGGCUUCCAAAAGAACGUUCAUGAACCAGAGCACUCACUUCCAGGUUUUAAUCGUUUGAGAGCCAAGGCGUUCGAGAUCCAAGGUAUGACUGUAUGCCUUUUAAGCGUUCCCCCGCUCGAUACUAUAUGGAAUUGAGUGAUAACCAACCCUGGAAAGCCUUGUCAAGAUCUUAUCGACUAUGAUUACCAUAUUUUUCGCAUCAUAAGACACACCUGACCAUAAGACGCAUCUAGUUUUUAGAGGAGGAAAGGGGGAAAACCCCUUUUUUUGAGGAUCAGCUCAAACUUGUUGAGCUUACUUUGCAAACGGAAAAAAUCCUGUUUUUAUGGGGUUCAACUCACAGUUUUGCAGCUUCUUUAGGAAAGGAAAGGGAGCCGUUUCUACAGUUUCCAGACAGAUAAUCUAAUCAGCCAGUCAUAUGUCGCUGGGGAAACAAACAGCCUCUGUCUGCAGAACAUUCAACAAUGGAGGCCUGGGCAAGGGGCCGGGGCUGGAAAGGGAGCCAGCGAUUGACCACACAUUCGCUCCAUAAGACGCACAGACAUGUCCCCUUACUUUUUAGGAGGAAAAAGGUGCGUCUUAUGGAGCGAAAAAUAUGGUAUUUUCCAGAACUGAGCUCUGCUUUGACCUUGAGUAAGUGACAACUAAAGGAUUGACUUAGAAGGGACCCACAACUAAUUAGAAACACCAGAUUUCCCCCUAGGUAUCCGCUCUUGAGGGCAUUUUAGACCUAGUUAUCUGACCAAACUCCCACCAAACUUCCUUAAGAAAUACCUUUACUGAGCUGUUUUUCCAUGUGACGCCAACCGCAGUCUUAGACGACAACUACAACAAAAUCCCGUACACAGACAGACGUCGUAUUUGCGGUCAACCUGAGGUGGAAGAAAUUACUCAGUAACUGUUUGUUGUUGUUUAGUCGUUUAGUCGUGUCCGACUCUUCAUGACCCCAUGGACCAGAGCACGCCAGGCACUCCUGUCUUCCACUGCCUCCCGCAAUUUGGUCAAACUCAUGCUGGUAGCUUCGCGAACACUAUCCAACCAUCUCGUCCUCUGUCAUCCCCUUCUCCUUGUGCCCUCCAUCUUUCCCAACAUCAGGGUCUUUCCCAGGGUGUCUUCUCUUCUCAUGAGGUGGCCAAAGUAUUGGAGCCUCAGCUUCACUGUUAGUUUGCCCCUUAUAUAGAGAGACCUAGGAGAUCGCUUUCUGAAACCUUUGUACACAAAAGGAAGCAGGUUGCGUCGCAGCAGAAAUGGUCCAGUUUCUUUUGAGUGACAAUAAUCGCUUUGUAACACAGCAAAUGCCCUUCUGUGCACUGGUUGCAAACAAACAAGCAAACGAAGAACAGGAAAAAGGAGUUAGAUAAAAUCAAUGUAAAUAGUUGUGGAGAUUCGGAGAUUUAAUCUGAAAUGAAGCUGGAUUUGAGUUUGUUGGUUUCUCUGAUAACUUUCCCCUUACAUCCUGGAAGUUGGCUCAUAUUAUGGAUGUGUGAUCUGUAUUGUUUUAUUGGCACUGCUGUAGCUGCGGGUUUGUCGCAGGCUUUGGCUAGAAUGAUAAACUUGUAUUGAACUAGUUACAGGUAGGUAGCCAUGUUGGUCUGCCGUAGUCGAAACAAAAUAAAAAGAUUCCUUCCAGUAGCAGCUUAGAGACCAACUAAGUUUGUUAUUGGUAUGAGCUUUCGUGUGCAUGCACACUUCUUCAGAUACACUGAAUAUACUUCUUCAGACACACUGUGUAUCUGUAGAUAUGCUGGAACGAGGCUGUUUAGGGCUUUAAAGGUCAGCACCAACAUUUUGAAUUGUGCUUGGAAACGUACUGGGAGCCAAUGUAGGUCUUUCAGGACCAGUGUUAUGUGGUCUCGACGGCUACUCCCAGUCCCCAGUCUAGCUGCUGCAUUCUGGAUUAGUUGUAGUUUCCAGGUCACCUUCAAAGGUAGCCCCACGUAGAGCGCAUGGCAGUAGUCCAAGCAGGAGAUAACUAGAGCAUGCACCACUCUGGUGAGACAGUCCAUGGGCAGGGAGGGUCUCAGUCUGCAUACCAGGUGGAGCUGGUAGACAGCUGCCCUGGACACAGAACUGACCUGCGCUUCCAUGGACAGCUGUGAGUCCAAAAUGACUCCUAAAUGACAUGUGUCUUCAUCGGCCUUAUCCUGGAGCAUGUUCAGCUCUUCUCUGGUCGGUUUUCAAUAGCUCAAACACCCUGUAAGCUCCUUCUUGAGGAAGCCACAGGCAACUUGUAAGAGGCCAAGAGGCAUAACACUCUAAAUGAGAUCCAAGGGGAAAGAGAGAAUGCUUAUGGCAAACCCCAGAAGUGACAGCAACAUGUUUCCUCCUUCCUCCCAUCCCAGAUUCCGAGAUGCUUCCAGUUUGCUCAUAGCAGAUAUUCUGAUGAGGAUUUGCCUGCCAUCUACCUACAGCAGGGCCAUUUAAAUCAGGGAAUUCCCGAGCGCCAAACGAAGGGGAAAUCUGGGUACAUAUUAUAACCUAAGGAUUAGGAAUUAGCAAUGUCUGCUUGAAAAUUAUCUUUCUCUGACUUUUAUCAUGUGUGGUGGACUUGUGAUAAAGUUAAAGCAUUUGGGGAAUUGAUCUACAAUGAAUUAAAGAAGAUGUUCAGAUAUACUUUCCCCAAAAAUCCGGAAGCAUUUUUGCUAGGCUUGAUGGGAAAUGAUAUUUCAAAGACUAUUUAUGUACGCCACAGUUGCAGCAAGAACUUUGUUGGCCCAAAAAUGGAAAUUACAAUAAAUACCUACCAUUGCGGAGUGGCAGGUGAAGAUGAUGGACUUUGCUGAAUUGGCCAAGCUGACCUGCAGGAUCCAAGACCAGGACAAUAAGAAAUUCCAAAGAGACUGGAGUAAAUCUAUUGUAUAUUUGAAUGAUAAUUGUAAAAAUUUGAAGACACUAGCAGGAUUGAAGUAAAUCCUGCAAUGUAGACAUAUAGUAAAGAGUUAGAUUGCACGAGGAAGGAGGGAAGUCGUAAGCUUGGCAGAGCAAAAAAGGGUUUUUAUGUGGAUCGAUGUAUUGUUGAGAAAGCUGUUUAAAGGAAAAUAUUUUUUUAUAUAAAAAAAAGGAAGAAAAUUAUCUUUCUCUGCUAUUGCCCCACUGUUCCCCUCCAACCGCACCAAAGAUGUAUCCAUUGCUCAAAGGAGAUUGACUGCUCUCUGCUGACUCCAGUGAAGUCAAGCCACUCAUGCUUUCAUCAAGCUAAGCUGGGACAAGCCAUGUGAGGAACAAGUGAGGAAGGUCCAGGCAAGAUGGGCAAAGUCAGGGCCAAAACCCUUACGCAGGAAGGCAAGCAAAAGCAGCACCUUGAACAGCACCCAGCCAUCAAGGUCUGGAUAGGGAACAAGAUCCACACUGGGCAAGGGAUUUGGGGUGGCGCUGUGGGUAAAACCACAGAGCCUAGGACUUGCUGAUCAGAAGGUCGGCAGUUCGAAUCCCUGCGAUGGGGUGAGCUCCCAUUGCUCAGUCCCUGCCCCUGCCAACCUAGCAGUUCAAAAGCACGUCAAAAUGCAAGUAGAUAAAUAGGUCCCGCUCCGGUGGGAAGGUAAACGGCUUUUCUGUGCGCUGCUUUGGUUCGCCAGACGCGGCUUAAUCCUGCUGGCCACAUGACCCGGAAGCUGUUCGCCGGCUCCCUCGGCCAGUAAAGCGAGAUGAGCGCCGCAACCCCAGAGUCGGUCACGACUGGACCUAAUGGUCAGGGGUCCCUUUACCUUUACUAUUCAGAUUUCCGAUUGGGAAAGGUUAUGGAAAAUGGAUUUGAAAUUCACGGCACACACCUCUGGAUGCCGGUAUCUGUCACCCAGCGAGAAUCAGCCCUACGCCUGAGCCGGCCAGCGAGGAAACUCGAAGCCACCUUGCAGCAGUGCGGGACCCGGGCCGUCAAAUGUUAGCGAGUUUUUUGCUCUACCUGCAAUGUAAUUAUACGUGAGAUUAAGUGGGGGGGGUAUACCUUUCAUUUAAUCAACAGCUCAGCUCCGUUCGAAGCCUGUGGCGCACUCCUUUGCUGAAGGCAGGAGCCCCCCCAAAAAAAACAACAACAGGCAUCUGUGUCACCACUCAGAGCUCUUAAUUACUAGCCGUCUCCUGCAGGGUGGGCACAAAGAGGAACAGCCAAGUUUCCUCCCUCUGAGCAAUCCUUUCUUACCUUCUAUGGAGGAGAAGCCAGUAAUGUCAGCCUUAAAAGCAUAAUUCUCCCAUUAGCUUCUAAAACCCAGGGCCCCUGGAACUGUGACAAUUAGAACCAGCGGGCUUUGAUCUCCCAUCAAAGAGCAUGCCCCACACCCAGUGCGACGCUCAGUCAGCCCCUUCCAGUGAAAGAUACCCCUUCUGCUUCCUCCAUGAUGAUUUACUAUUUCUUCUGCACUUCCUACUUUUGAAGUUCACUGUACUUUGGUCUGUUUCCGAUGCCAGACCAACUCAGGGACGACUGCUACUGAAGGGAUGACUGCAGGGACGACUGCAAAUGAGCAUAAUUGUGAUGGCCUGGGAAUCGGAUUCAGAGGCUGAACCUAAGGAAUCCCAGCCUGCACAGGAGUCCCCGCCUCCAGGACCAGCUGAGCCGGGGCUGGGGCAUGAGCCUGAAGGGUCCUCACCUGUGCUGGAUCCUCAGGUGCAGGCACCAGCUAAGUCUGCUCUGGCUCCUGAGGUGAUGGAGGACCCAUUGCCUGCAGGUGCUCCACUCUCAGCCCCAUCAGGGGAAGGUGAGGUUGCCUCUGGGUCCGGUAACACUCCAGCCUUUCCUGAGCUGCAGAGGCUCAGGGCAGAGAGGCGGAGGGAACUACCGAUGUUCCUGCAUAGGGCACUUUUCCCUCCAAAAUGAAGGAAAUGUGUCUGUUGGGCGAUGUAGCUGCUGAUGCCUCGAGCGAGGCAUCGUGCGCCGACUCUCGCUCUCAGGCUCAGGAAGCUAUCCGCAAGCCUUGCAAGCCCGGUGGGAGUUCCACGCUCACAAGGCUUGCAGGCAGCAGCCUGCAGCCCGGCAGUGUCCGCAGCCUCGGCAGGAGGUCCGCCGGCAGCGAGGUGGCAGCAGCUGUCGCAGCACGGGGCCUCCGGAGGCUCCCGUGCUUCAGCGUGCCGCACUGCGCCCAGCAGGAGGUCCCGCCCGGCGCGCAGGCUGGGCGGCAGCAUGUCGCGAGCACGGGAGCCUCCGAGGGCUCCCGUGCGGAGUGUCUGCGCUGCCCGGCAGGAGGUCCCGCCCGGCGCGCAAGGCUUGGGGCUGCAGCUUGUCGCCCGAAGCACGGGAGCCCUCCGGAGGGCUCCCGUGCUCGGGCGAGUGUCCGCAAGCCUUGCGCGCCCGGCAGGAGGUCCCGCCCGGCGCGCAAGGCUUGGGCUGCAGCCUGUCGCCGAAGCACGGGAGCCCUCCGGAGGGCUCCCGUGCUUCGGGCGAGUGUCCGCAAGCCUUGCGCGCCCGGCAGGAGGUCCCGCCCGGCGCGCAAGGCUUGGGGCUGCAGCUGUCGCCCGAAGCACGGGGAGCCCUCCGGAGGGCUCCCGUGCUUCGGGCGAGUGUCUGCAAGCCUUGCGCGCCCGGCAGGAGGUCCCGCCCGGCGCGCAAGGCUUGGGGCUGCAGCUGUCGCCCGAAGCACGGGAGCCCUCCGGAGGGCUCCCCGUGCUCGGGCGAGUGUCCGCAAGCCUUGCGCGCCCGGCAGGAGGUCCCGCCCGGCGCGCAAGGCUUGGGGCUGCAGCUUGUCGCCCGAGCACGGGAGCCCUCCGGAGGGCUCCCGUGCUUCGGGCGAGUGUCCGCAAGCCUUGCGCGCCCGGCAGGAGGUCCCGCCCGGCGCGCAAGGCUUGGGGCUGCAGCUGUCGCUCGAAGCACGGGAGCCCUCCGGAGGGCUCCCGUGCUCGGCGAGUGUCCGCAAGCCUUGCGCGCCCGGCAGGAGGUCCCGCCCGGCGCGCAAGGCUUGGGCUGCAGCUUGUCGCCCAAGCACGGGAGCCCUCCGGAGGCUCCCGUGCUUCGGGCGAGUGUCCGCAGCCUUGCGCGCCCGGCAGGAGGUCCCGCCCGGCGCGCAAGGCUUGGGGCUGCAGCUUGUCGCCCGAAGCACGGGAGCCCUCCGAGGGCUCCCUGCUUCGGGCGAGUGUCCGCAAGCCUUGCGCGCCCGACAGGAGGUCCCGCCCGGCGCGCAAGGCUUGGGGCUGCAGCUGUCGCCGAAGCACGGGGAGCCCUCCGGAGGGCUCCCGUGCUUCGGGCGAGUGUCUGCAAGCCUUGCGCGCCUGGCAGGAGGUCCGCCGGCGCCAGGCAUGCGGCUGCUCUGUCGCCCGAGGUGAGCCCUCGGAGGCUCCCCGUGCUCGGCAGGUGCUCCAGCCUCGCAGCGCCCGUGGAGGUCCCGCCGGCGCGAGGCUGGGAGGUAGCCUGCCGCCCGGUCACGCGAGGCCUGGCGGCAGCCGCGGGGGGAUAAUUUUUUCAUUGCCCCAAAGAGGUGCGUCCAGGACCGGUCAGUCAUAGAGCGAAGAUACGGUAAGUUCCUGCAGGAGGAGGGCUCGCCUCCAGGCCAGGAGAGGUGAGUCACCUGUGGACCGGGGCCGCCCUAUGCCUCGGGGCAGAUAAAAGCCAGCCAGCCCAGGCGCAGGUUGCAGUAACCUGUUCCUGCCGGCACCCUGUCCUGCUCUUCUGCCAGAGCUCCUGACCUCACCCGACUCCUUGCCUUGGACCCCGCUUCAGCCUUGACGGACAGCCUCUAUACCACACCCUCAACCUCAGACUGGACUCGGACCACGCCGCAAGGUAACCCCCUGGGACCAGCACAAUAAUGGUCACAAAUCCAAUGCAUAAUAAUAAUAAUUAAUAAUUGCUCCUCCGCUUUCCUUUCAAGAUGGCUGCGCUGAGCAAAAUUAUCCCAUUUCUGAAAAAUGCAUGGGGAAAGGAUCUAGUUGUCGUUCUCUCUUUCGGCAUUGGUUUUAUGGCUUUGGUGGCACUGUGGGUCAGUCCCUUAACAAAAUACAGCGCCAUGAUGACCCAGGCUGUACCAUAUACUGUAUUUUUCACUCUAUGAUGCACCAGACUAUAAGACACACCUAGUUUUUGGAGGAGGAAAACAAGAAAAAAAUAUUCUGAAUCUCAGAAGCCAGAACAGCAAGAGGGAUCGCUGUGCAGUGAAAGCUGUUCUGGCUUCUGGGAUAGCUGCGCAGCCUGCAUUCGCUCCGUAAGACGCACACACAUUUCCCCUUACUUUUUAGGAGGGGAAAAGUGAGUCUUAUAGAGCAAAAAAUACAGUACAUAUCCAGCUCCAGUUUGGGAUGAUGGCAAUAUGCCAGGUAUUCCCUCCCACAUUUGUGACAAGGAAGGACCAAGUCUUGAAUGGCUAAAGAACUUCUGAGACGGACCCUUGUGAUGAAGAGGCCUAGAGAACCAACACUGAAGGGACAACCCGGGCCUGCACUGCUCUCUGCUCUUUUGUGUACAUGUGUAACAUUUUCAGGAUAUAAUAAACUUGCUAACUUAAAAAACAAUAAUAAUUUAUUAUUUGUACCCACCUCUAUUUGUACCCACCUCUUACAAAAUUAUUAUUUGUAAUCCACCUCUAUCCUUUGCAUCUGUUAGUAUUUUAAAUUUUAUUCUAGGCUUCUUGCCCUGCCAGACAAAUCUAGAAAUAUCUCUCUGCCACCUCUUGAAACAGUCCAUUUUGUCCACAAUUUGCAAUGUUUGAAACAAAAACAACAUUCUAGGCAAUACAUUCAUUUUUACAGCAGCAAUACGACCCAGCAGUGAAAGCUUCAAGUUUGACCAAAUUUCUAAGUCUUUUUUCACUUCAGCCCAACAUCUUUCAUAGUUAUCUUUGAAUAAAUUCCCAUUUUUUGCUGUCAAGUUAAUCCAGAGAAUAUUGAGAAGCAAAGUGGCUAGUAAGCCUGAUAUUUAUUAAAGGAAAUAAACUGUUGCAACAGGGUCACCAUUCACCAUAUGCAGGAGGGAGAGAACAACAACAACAACAACAACAACAACAACAACAACAACAACAACAAUUUAUUAUUUGUACCCCACCCAUCUGGCUGGGUUUCCCCAGCCACUCUGGGCGGCUUCCAACAAAGAUUAAAAAUACAUUAAAAUGCCACACAUUAAAAACUUCCCUGAACAGGGCUGCCUUCAGAUGUCUUCUAAAUGUCAGGUAGUUGUUUAUUUCCUUGACAUCUAGUGGGAGGGAAUUCCACAGGGCGGGCGCCACCACCAAGAAGGCCCCCUGCCUGGUUCCCUGUAGCUUUGCUUCUCGCAGUGAGGGAACCACCAGAAGGCCCUCGGCGCUGGACCUCAGCAUCCGGGCAGAACGAGGGGGGUGGAGACUCUCCUCAUUCAUGAUUGCCACUAUCUAUAAGAGAUCCAGUUGCAGCAGACUUAACUUAAACUUACAAGAACUUAUAAUAAGUCUAAACCUUGACACUAUAGCACACCAUGCACAAAACACCACACCAGAAGGAAAAGAGAUAGAAAGAGAAAGUGAACCCCAGGCUCCUUCUGGCCUUACUUUUAUAGUCAGUGUGACCUUGACAGAAGAGAUAACAGAACCAGUUUAAACCAGCUGUACUCAGCUUCUCGGAAGGAAUAACCCAAACAUCAUGAACUUUCUUCUUGUUUCUUUCACACAGAGGAGCUUCCAGAACCCUCUUGAAUUAAGUAGGAAAGAUCUCUACACAUCACAUCAAUACUUUCUGCACUAAAAAUGCAAACGAACACAGUGAUGGGCAUGGGGGCGGAUCUCAGAUUUCAGUGGUGGUUGGUGCAAUGCUAAAAUUUGGCACAUCCUGUCUCUCACACUCUGUUUUAAAUAAUACUUGGGGUGUCCCCAGCAGCACCCCUGAGGCUCUGCGCCAGUGCGACUGAACCAGUCACGCUCCCCUAAAUCCACCUCUGAUUAGAAAAAUUCACGGAGGAGAGGGUUAUCGAAGGCUGCUGGCCCUUCACAGUGUUGUAAACAAAAUCUGCCCCUUUUCCCUUAUAGGGUAUCCAAGAGCCCAUAUAGAGUCCUUACGUGGGUUCCCUAUUGGUAGGAGAAAAUAACAGAGGCCAACCAGAGAAUAUUGAGAAGCAAAGCAGCUCGUAAGCCUGAUCAUUAUUGAUCUGUUGCAACAGGGUGCUCCCCUCACACGCAGGAGAGAGGAGGACCCCGAAGAAAGGUGUGCCCACCCUUAUAUAGACAUUUUAAAUUCUCUGCCUUGGAACUCAAGACCACCCCUCCAUACAUCAUACCUACAUCACAGAAGGGGUAUAGCUCAAGACCAUCACCCCCAGAUACAUCUUACCUACAUCACAGAAAAGGCAGUCUACAACAGAAAUCUGAGUGUGUUGUUUAACUCUUGUCUGGCAGGUUCUCUGAUAAUGCCUUAUCGGAUUGCCUGGUUAUUACCCGCUUCCUGAGACAAUGGGAAAGUUUCCUUACCCCCUCCUUGCAGAGAAAACAUUUGGUCAGUUUGGGAGUCAAAAUGGUUUCAGGAAUGUCUUCCUGUGCUGCUCCAGACAUUGGUACAUUUAUGAACAUUUAUUAUAUAUAUAUAUAUGACCUUAAAAUUCUUAUAACAAUUGCAAGAGGAAGCAAUUCUUCUGACUCCCAGUUGCUGGAAACCACAGGAAGGGAGAAAGCAAAGCUCCCCUUCCUCUCUCAUCAGAGAAGAGGGGGCGUGACUUAGCUGAGUCUAGGAAUUCAGCCCUAUGACCUUAACUCUUCCGUGCACUUACUAACCCUGUGCUUGCUAGUUGUAUUUGACUGCAGUUUCCUGCACAAAUAGUGUUUAAUGGGGAUUCACAGGUGGGUCGAAUGACGUGCACAGGGGACCUGCUUUUUCACUCCCCACAGGAAUCUGGUUGGCCCCUGGGCUAGAUGUGCCACCGGCCUGAUCCAGCAACUGCUCUUACAUUGCCAGCCACCAUUCUCAGUCUGCCGGCAAUGCUGGAGCCUCUAUUCUGGGCCUCUCUGUUAUGCUCUGUUAUUUAUUUAAAAGAUUUAUAAGCUGCCCUUCCUCGGGACAGAUACCAGAACAUUUGCACAACAUACAGAUAAGCAGCAAUCGCACACAGAACCAAGAACAAACAAACAGAGGAAAUCGUCGGGAACGGUUGGAGUUUGCAAAGCAGUAGAAGCUUGAAAUGCUCGUGCCCGGAAUUAUUUUUUCAGCCCCCUAAUUUAUCGGGGGACGCGGGUGGCGCUGUGGGUUAAACCACAGAGCUUAGGACUUGCCAAUCAGAACGUCGGCGGUUCGAAUCCCCACGACGGGGUGAGCUCCUGUUGCUCAGUCCCUGCUCCUGCCCACCUAGCAGCUCGAAAGCACGUCAAAGUGCAAGUAGAUAAAUAGGCAACCCUCCGGCGGGAAGGUAAACGGUGUUUCCGUGCACUGCUCUGGUUCCCCAGAAGCAGCUUAGUCAUGCUGGCCACAUGACCCGGAAGCUGUACGCCAGCUCCCUCGGCCAAUAAAGCGAGAUGAGCGCCGCAACCCCAGAGUCGGCCACGACUGGACCUAAUGGUCAGGGGUCCCUUUACCUUUACCUAAUUUAUGGGGAAAGUUGUGAUUUGCUGUUGCUGCUGUUAAACUUUUGAGAGUCAGAAGCUCUCACCAAUCUGCCCCAAAAACAGUGGCUGAGCACCGCUCCCGCCACAAGCAGGAUAUCGCCUGCGGUGUGUCAGAAGCCCCCAGGACAGGGAGUGCUGUGGCAGGUCAGGAUUGCACCCUGCAAUUAGUAACGAAAGCACCUCGCAGAAAUUGCUCCUGGUAAACGCCAGAUUUAUUUUCUCCCCUUUGGUGUUGCGGAGCAGCUAUUUUUAAAAUAUAGAUUCAGAGAGAGAGAGAUCUGUAUCUCUAUAUCUGUGCACGCAGAUAAUUAUAUCUAGUCCACGAUGAUGAAAAGGUAUUUAGAUGCUUUGAGGAAGGAGGAUUUGAAGUUCUAAAUCUUCAGAAGAUAGCAUCACUGCCGGGGCUUGCCAGGGGAGUCGACUUCUGUCACAUGCGCCGAGAGAUAAACAGGUUACUGAGCGCCAAAGAUUAAAGGCUCUUUGCAGGGGGCUUCGCACUCAGUCAUGAACUUACCUCGGACUCAAAGGGCAGUGACCAGUGCAAACCCCAGUCUGCUCCCUUCCCUCAUCCUCCCUGCAUCUGCUUGCUCCUUCUACCUGCGUAGUGUUACCGGAAAAAUCCGAGGGCUCCCUUGGACAAAAACAAAGACACCAACCAGGAUAACUUGGAGCAAAACAGCAGCCUGUAGGCUUGGCCUUUAUUGAACUGUUGCAACAGGGUGUUCCCCUCACUUGCAGGAGAGAGGAAAGACCCAGAAAGAUGGUGUGCAAGACCUUAUAAAAACUUUUGAAAUUCCCAUCCUCUAGGUCAAGCCCACCCCCAGAAACAUCAUGCAUACAUUACAGAAAGGAGGGGUUGACAUCAUGCAUACAUUACAGAAAGGAGGGGUUGAGGGAGGAGUUGUGGUGGUAACCUGAGUGUCCUGUCACCUGGCUGGUUCCUCCUUUCCCCCUGCCCAUGAGUCACUUCCAGGAGACACUUCCAGGGGAGUUGGCAGUUUCCUGCCCCCAGAGGGAAGAUCUGAUCAUUGUCCUUUCUUUCAGUCCAUGCUGAAUCCACUCCCAUAUGCAAGUUCUUUGUGAUCUUGAUGGUCUUCUGUCUAGGACCAUCAGGGUUGGCAUAGCAACUGGGCAGGGCUCCUGUGGAUGUGCUGGGAUGGUGAAGGGAUUAUGGCUGACCAGAACCAAGCCACCCCCCUUUGAUAGUCCUUGUCAUAUGGAGUAAAAUAAAAAUGGAACAGUGCAAAUCCGAUGUAUGGUUGAUUUUUCUAUGAAUUUAUAACAGAAGUGUGGCAUAUGUAGUGUGUGAGUGUGAGUGUGUGAAGUUUGUACAAACUGAAUCAUUGGGGUGGGGGGGUUCCUGCUACAGUAGGUAGCUGUGUCCUCCAGCAGAGCCAACCCAUUGCUCCUUGUCUUUUUAAUAUCUAUAUGAAGCCGCUGGGAGAGAUCAUCAGAGGGUUUGGGCUGGGUGUUCAUCAGUAUGCAGAUGACACCCAGCUCUACCUCUCCUUUAAAUCAGAACCAGUGAAGGUGGUGAAGGUCCUGUGUGAGUGCCUGGAGGCGGUUGGAGGAUGGAUGGCGGCUAACAGAUUGAGGUUGAAUCCUGACAAGACAAAAGUACUGUUUUGGGGGAAUAGGAGGCGGGCAGGGGGGGGUGCCCUGGUCCUGAAUGGGGUAACUGUGCCCCUGAAGGACCAGGUGUGCAGCCUGGGAGUCAUUGUGGACUCACAGCUGUCCAUGGAGGCACAGGUUAAUUCUGUGUCCAGGGCAGCUGUCUACUAGCUCCAUCUGGUAUGCAGGCUGAGACCCUACCUGCCUGCAGACUGUCUGGCCAGAGUGGUCCAUGCUCUGGUUAUCUCCCGCUUAGACUACUGCAACGCGCUCUACGUGGGUGACCCGGAAACUGCAAUUAAUCCAGAAUGCGGCAGCUAGACUGGUGACUGGGAGUGGCCGCCGGGACCAUAUAACACCGGUCCUGAGAGAUCUGCAUUGGCUCCCAGUACGUUUUCGAGCACAAUUCAAAGUGUUGGUGCUGACCUUUAAAGCCCUAAACAGCCUCGGUCCAGUAUACCUGAAGGAGCGUCUCCACCCCCAUCGUUCAGCCCGGACACUGAGAUCCAGCGCCGAGGGCCUUCUGGCAAUUCCCUCAUUGCGAGAAGUGAGGUUACAGGGAAUCAGACAGAGGGCCUUCUUGGUAGUGGCGCCCGCCCUGUGGAACGCCCUCCCUUCAGAUGUGAAGGAAAUAAGCAGCUAUCCUAUCUUUAAAAGAUUUCUGAAGGCAGCCCUGUUUAGGGAAGUUUUUAAUAUUUAACACUGUACUGUUUUUAACAUUUGAUUGGGAGCCGCCCAGAGUGGCUGGGGAAACUCAGCCAGAUGGGUGGGGUAUAAAUAAUAAAUUAUUAUAAUAUUAUUAUUAUUGUCUUGCUUUGCGGGACAAGAACACCGGUAGUCUGAGCCGACGAGCUCAGUGGGUAGACCAUGAGAAUCUUGAUCUCCGGGUUGUGGGUUCGAGCCCUAAGCUGGGUAAAAGAUUCCUGCGUCUCAGGGGGUUGGGUUAGGUGACUCUCGUGUGCUGUAAAGAAUUCUAAGGUCUCAAAUACAAAAUCAAAUGUUCAUACAUAUACCAGGCAAACACAUACAUGAGUAUAUAAACCAUGUGUCUGAAACAGUACAGUGGUACCUCGGGUUAAGUACUUAAUUCGUUCCAGAGGUUCGUUCUUAGCCUGAAACUGUUCUUAACCUGAAGCACCACUUUAGCCAAUGGGGCUUCCUGUUGCCGCCGCACCGCCGUUGUGCGAUUUCUGUUCUCAGCCUGAAGCAAAGUUCUUAACCUGAGGUAAUAUUUCUGGGUUAGCGGAGUCUGUAACCUGAAGCAUCUGUAACCUGAGGCCUAUGUAACCUGAGAUACCACUGUAAAGGUAAAGGUAAAGGUAAAGGGAUCCCUGACCAUUAGGUCCAGUCGUGGCCGACUCUGGGAUUGCGGCGCUCAUCUCGCUUUACUGACCGAGGGAGCCGGCGUUUGUCCGCAGACAGUUUUUCCGGGUCAUGUGGCUAGCAUGACUAAGCCACUUCUGGCGAACCAGAGAAGUGCACGGAAACGCCAUUUACCUUCCACUUUGACGUGCUUUCGAACUCCUAGGUUGGCAGGAGCAGGGACCGAGCAACGGGAGCUCACCCCAUCGCAGGGAUUCGAACCGCCGACCUUCUGAUUGGCAAGCCCUAGGCUCUGUGGUUUAACCCACAGCGCCACCCGCGUCCCAUGUCUGAAAUAGUACAGGAGAGCCAUUUUGACUCUCCCAAAUUGACCUCAAAUAUUUCUCUGCAAGGAGGAAGGAAAUGAGAAAGCCUCUCCAUUGUCUUUUGCUUACAAAUCCUUUCAUGAUAAUAAUAAUAAUAGUAAUAAUAAUAAUAAUAAAUAAUUUUAUUUAUACCCUGCCCUCCCCGGCCAAAACCCGGCUCAGAGUGGCUAACAUCAGCUAUAUAACAUAUCAACAUAAAAUCAAGCAAUCAAUUAAAAUACAUCAAAUCAGGAUCAAAGUGAAAUCCAAUCACAUGGCAACCCGCAGAUUAGGGUUGGGGACAUUAAAUGCUCAGCAGGCCUAGCUGUUUAUGAGCCUGUGAGAAAAAUUAGGGGGCCAUUUUCAUGUAAGUUUUUAUAAGGAGAGAGGGUGGAGUCAGGCGUAUUUGUGGGCGUAUUUGUAUAUGAAUAGGGUGAGCCUGUGACCUGGAUUCAGGAAAUAAAAGUAUUUACCAUCACAAAAGAACGGCCAGGCUGCCCAGGUAAAGCAAUCAGUGACCGUUAUCAGGUAUCCUGGCAAACAGGAUUUCUGCUGCAGACCGCCUCCUUCUGUGAUGCAUGUAUGAUGUUUUUUUUGGGGGGUGUCUUGGGCUACAGGUUUGGCGAUCUCAAAAGUCUAUAUAAGGGCUUGUGCACCGUUGCUCAGAGUUCUCCGAGCACAAUUCAAAGUGUCGGUGUUGACCUUUAAAGCCCUAAACGGCCUCGGCCCAAUAUACCUGAAGGAGCGCCUCCACCCCCAUCGUCCAGCGCUGAGGUCCAGCGCUGAGGGCCUUCUGGCGGUUCCCUCACUGCGAGAAGCAAAGCUACAGGGAACCAGGCAGAGGGCCUUCUUGGUAGUGGCGCCCGUCCUGUGGAACGCCCUCCCAUCAGAUGUCAAAGAGAUAAAGAACUACCUGUCAUUUUAGAAGACAUCUGAAGGCAGCCCUUUUCAGGGAAGUUUUUAAUGUGUGGCAUUUUAAUGUAUUUUUCAUCUUUGUUGGAAGCCGCCCAGAGUGGCUGGGGAGACCCAGCCAGAUGGGUGGGGUACAAAUAAUAAAUUGUUGUUGUUGUUGUUGUUGUUGUUGUUGUUGUUGUUGUUGUUGUUGUUCUCUCCCUCCUGCAUAUGGUGAAUGGUGACCCUGUUGCAACAGUUUAUUUCCUUUAAUAAAUAUCAGGCUUACUAGCCACUUUGCUUCUCAAUAUUCUCUGGUUGGCCUCUGUUAUUUUCUCCUACCAAUAGGGAACCCACUUAAGGACUCUAUACGGGCUCCUGGAUACCCCAUAAGAGAGAGGGAGGAGUUUUUCCCCCUUAUAACACAUGGCCACUUCCAGCUUUCUAUGGUUCUAUGUCCAUGCCGCAUAUUUAAAAUGCAUAGGUUCCCCCAGAGAAGCCCAGGAAAUGCAGAUUCGUAGAAUCAUGACCCCUGACCAUUAGGUCCAGUCGUGACCGACUCUGGGGUUGCGGCGCUCAUCUCGCUUUACUGGCCAAGGGAACCAGUGUACAGCUUCCAGGUCAUGUGGCCAGCAUGACUAAGCCGCUUCUGGCGAACCAGAGCAGCGCACGGAAACACCUUUUACAUUCACGCCGGAGCGGUACCUAUUUAUCUACUUGCACUUUGACGUGCUUUCGAACUCCUAGGUUGGCAGGAGCAGGGACUGAGCAACGGGAGCUCACCCCGUCACAGGGAUUCGAACCACCAGCCUUCUGAUCGGCAAGUCCAAGGCUCUGUGGUUUAACCCACAGCACCACCUGCAUCCCUUGUUCGUAGAAUCAUAGAAUUGUAGAAUUGGAAGGGACCACAAGCCCCACUUCCUGCAAUGCAGAAAUCUUUUGCCCCAUGUGGGACUUGAACCCGAGACCCAGAGAUUAAGAGUCUCAUGCUUUGCUGACUAAUGUAGUUGCCCCCCCUUCACAGAGCUGCAGCCCCCAGCACCCUUAGCACACUAUAGUUCCCAGGAUUCACGAGGACAUUUUUUUUUCCUUUUUCUUUUUAAAAGAAAAAUCAAUUGCAAACUGAUGUGGAGAUUGCAAGGAGGAAGGCGAGACGGGGGAUGUUAUUUUAAGACCGUAAAAAUGAGAAACUGAAAUUGACAGAUACACCCGUCUCUAAUUGUGACUGAGUAGCGAAAGGGGUGACCAAGACUGCUUCACAACCAAUUAUCUUUUUCCCAGGGCCUGCCCAAGAAGGCCUAAUUUUUGCAUAGAGUCAGUGAACAGGCAUCAGAUCACUUUUUCAAUUAUAUAAGGUGACUUCUGUUUCAGUGUAUCUGAAGAAGAAGUGUACAUGCACACAAAAACUUAUACCAAGAACAAACUUAGUUGGUCUCUAAGGUGCUACUGGACAAUUUUUUUUAUUUUUUUAAUGUAUUUUGACUGCGUCAGACCAACACGGCUACCUACCUGAAUCUAGAACGUGCAAAAAAAAUAAAAAUACUUUGUGUGAAGGCCUGGGAUUCGGACUCGGAGGCUGAACCUGAGGAAUCCCAGCCUGCACAGGAGUCCCCGCCUCCAGAACCAGCUGAGCCGGGGCUGGGGCUUGAGCCUGAAGGGUCCUCACCUGUGCUGGGUCCCCAGGUGCAGGCACCAGCUGAGUCUGCUCUGGCCCCUGAGGUGAUGGAGGACCCAUUACCUGCAGGUGCUCCUCUCCCAGCCCUGUCAGGGGAAUCUGAGGUUGCCUCUGGGUCCGGUAACCCUCCAGCCUCUCCUGAGCUUCAGAGGCUCAGGGCAGAGAGGCGGAGGGAACUAAGUUCCUGCACGAGGAGUGCUCGCCUCCAGGCCAGGAGAGGCAAGUCACCUGUGGACCAGGGCCACCCUAUGCCUCGGAGCAGAUAAAAGCCAGCCAGCCCCAGUGCCAAGCUGCGGGAGCAACGUUGUUGGUAGCCAGUGCCUGCCUGCAUCCUGUCCUGCCGGAGCUCCUGACCUCGCCCGACUCCCUGCUUUGGACCCAGCCUCAGCUUUGACGGACAGCCUCAAUACUGCACCCUCGACCUCGGACUGGACUUGGACUACGCCUCACGGAAAACUACGGGACCAGCACACUUUGUUUCACUCCUUGUGCCGCUGCUUCUCUGCUUGUCUAUUUUGCGAAUCCACCAUAAAUGAAGUUAUGAAUUUGUUGUGUCCAAUGCCUUUAGCAAUCAGCAUUUUAUACCUUCCCUGCCUUCGGACUAGGACCCCUCUGGACUGCUGCUGCUCUAGAUGCCUUCCAUGCCUAGGCAGCAUCUCCUACCUAAUUUCUGUGGGAUGUGAAACACAGAGCAGUCAAGUACAAUAUCCCUAGAGUGGACAUAAAAAGAGGAUGUCUGGACCAGCCUGUCAGAACUUCCUGUUUCCUCCUAGGCUGGGACAGACUUCCUCUACAUGUGACCAGAGGUGGGCGUGACCUUACCUAUGCAGGUAACAAAAUACCUCAGUGGAGGUCGCCAUCUCUCUCUGACUACAUUUGUCAAAGAAGCAACAUCUUCCAGCCAAGAGGACAAAGGGGCUAUCGCCUUAUGGGAUAGUUUCCAGGUAUCUUACUUUUGCAACUUAAGUCUGCCUUCUGGGAUCCAUUUGUGAACAGAAUGUGUGAGUAUACUCUGGUGACAGCAGUCACAAAAUUAAAAGACGCCUGCUUCUUGGGAGAAAAGCAAUGACAAACCUAGACAGCAUCUUACAAAAGCAAAGACAUCACCUUGCCAACAAAGGUCCAUACAGUUAAAGCUAAGGUUUUCCCAGUAGUGAUGUAUGGAGGUGAGAGCUGGACCAUAAACAAGGCUGAUCGCCGAAGUAUUGACGCUUUUGAAUUAUGGUCUGGAGGAGACUCUUGAGAGUGCCAUGGACUGCAAGAGGAUCAAACCUCUCCAUUCUGAAGGAAAUCAGCCCUGAGUGCUCACUGGAAGGACAGAUCCUGAAGCUGAGGCUCCAAGACUUUGGCCACCUCAUGAGAAGAGAAGACUCCCUGGAAAAGAUCCUGAUGUUGGGAAAGAUGGAGGGCACAAGGAGAAGGGGACAACAGAGGACGAGAUGGUUGGACAGUGUUCUCGAAGCUACCAGCAUGAGUUUGACCAAACUGCGGGAGGCAGUGGAAGACAGGAGUGCCUGGCAUGCUCUGGUCCAUGGGGUCACGAAGAGUCGGACACGACUAAACGACUAAACAACAACAACAAUAUAUUUUUAUAGAAGACUGUGUUAUGUCUAUCUUUUUAUGGGGGACUAAAGGGGAAAUUACCAAGGAAACUUAUUUUAGAGGCUUUAGCGAGCCUGAGCAAACGCAUCCACUGUGCAGGUUUAAAAGGGGGAAUGUUACUCUGCUAAAUUGUAGAACUUGUUAACACAAGUUGGAAAGGAUGUAAUCAAACAAUAUAUCCUCUCCUGCAUCCCUGAACAUUCCCACAAUUUCUCCCCUUGUCACAGCCUCGUUCCCCCUAAUCAGCUUGACUGGGAGAUGAUGGCUCUUUUCUGGCCACUGAAUUUACGAAACGCCAACAGCUGCCCCUUCGGCCAUUCAACUUGCAACGCUUCAGAUUGUUUUUAGAAUCAUAGAAUCAUAGAGUUGGAAGAGACCACAAGGGCCAUCGAGUCCAACCCCCUGCCAAGCAGGAAACACCAUCAGAGCACUCCUGACAUAUGGUUGUCAAGCCUCUGCUUCAAGACCUCCAAAGAAGGAGACUCCACCACACUCCUUGGCAGCAAAUUCCACUGUCAAACAGCUCUUACUGUCAGGAAGUUCUUCCUAAUGUUUAGGUGGAAUCUUCUUUCUUGUAGUUUGGAUCCAUUGCUCCGUGUCCGCUUCUCUGGAGCAGCAGAAAACAACCUUUCUCCCUCCUCUAUGUGACAUCCUUUGAUAUAUUUGAACAUGGCUAUCAUAUCACCCCUUAACCUCCUCUUCUCCAGGCUAAACAUGCCCAGCUCUCUUAGCCGUUCCUCAUAAGGCAUCGUUUCCAGGCCUUUGACCAUUUUGGUUGCCCUCCGCUGGACACGUUCCAGUUUGUCAGUGUCCUUCUUGAACUGUGGUGCCCAGAACUGGACACAGUACUCCUGAUUUUGAGAAAGCAGGUCAGAGUACAGCCUGUUCACGACCUCCUCCAGCAUACUAAGAUAAAAUCACAGAAUCAUAUGGUCUGGAGGGUUCUUGAAGGUCAUCUUGUCCUGCCUCCAAUCAGUUCCUUCAAUCUGACUCUGCCCAAAUAUGCCCACUGGAGGAGAUUGAUUGCUCCAGUAGGUAGGACCCGAACCAACUGCUUCAAGUUCCAAGAAAGGAGAUUCUGACUAAACAUAGGGAAUAACUUUCUGACGGGAAGAGCUGUUGACAAUGGAACGGACUCCCUCAGGAGGUCUUCCAGAGAGUCUUUAGCGGUGAUUGCUGUACAGUGGUACCUCGGGUUAAGCACUUAAUUCGUUCCGGAGGGCCUUACUUAACCUGAAACUGUUCUUAACCUGAAGCACCACUUUAGCUAAUGGGGCCUCCUGCUGCUGCCGCGCUGCCGGAGCACAAUUUCUGCUCUCAUCCUGAAGCAAAGUUCUUAACCUCAAGCACUGUUUCUGGGUUAGUGGAGUCUGUAACCUGAAGCGUAUGUAACCCGAGGCACCACUGUAUUUGCAAGGAGUUGGCCUGGAUAACCAAACUUGACUCAACAAUUCUAUGAUUCUAUGAUCUAUCUAUUCCUUUUUGCUCUAUCCCAUCUCUCUCUCUCUCUCUCUCUCUCUCUCUCUCUCUCUCACCUGUGAGAUUCCCCACUACUCAUUAUACACCAGUGUUCUGAUCUCAAAAGUGCUUGAAGGGACCAGGCUUCACAAUGCAAACCACCGUGCUGGCUAAAUUUCAGAAUUAGAAAAGAAUAAAAUCAUGAGCACAGGGCUCUGAGUGAAAGCAGGAUUGACCGAUUGAAAGAUACGAAAUAGAAGAACGUUAAUUGCAGGCACAUUCUAGUAUGUUCAGGUAUAAGUGUCAGAAAACCAGGAUAAGGCCGUAGAUGUCCAACAAGAAUGAAGAACUGAAAUUGCCACGCAAGGAGGAAAGCGAACACGAGGUCUGUGUGUGGAGGAAAUUGUGGAGGAGCUAUGACGCAGGUGGCGCUGUGGGUUAAACCACUGAGCCUCUUGGGCUUGCCGAUCAGAAGGUCGGCGGUUCAAAUACCCGCGACGGGGUGAGCUCCCGUUGUUUGGUCCCUGCUCCUGCCAACCUAGCAGUUCGAAAGCACGUCAAAAUGCAAGUAGAUAAAUAGGUACCGCUCCAGCGGGAAGGUAAACGGCGUUUCCGUGCACUGCUCUGGUUCGCCAGAAGCAGCUUAGUCAUGCUGGCCACAUGACCUGGAAGCUGUACACCGGCUCCCUUGGCCCAUAAAGCAAGAUGAGCGCCGCAACCCCAGAGUCGGCCACGACUGGACCUAAUGGUCAGGGGUCCCUUUACCCUUUAUGCCUAUUUUGGCUGGGGAAAACAGGAGCUGGGUUAAGAAGUCAGGAUGGAAGAGAAAGACGAAUAGCCUGUUUCAAUGACAUCUUGAAGAAACUAUCAAAUCAGAAAUAGGUAUGUCUCUUACAAGGGGAGGUGGUCAUCCAUUUAGGGAUAAGUAACCAAUUAAAUACGGGACGCGGGUGACGCUGUGGGUUAAACCACUGAGCCUCUUGGGCUUGCCGAUCAGAAGGUCGGCGGUUCAAAUCCCCGCGACGGGGUGAGCUCCCGUUGCCCAGUCCCUGCUCCUGCCAACCUAGCAGUUUCAAAGCACGUCAAAGUACAAGUAGAUAAAUAGGUACCACUCCAGCGGGAAGGUAAACAGUGUUUCCGUGCGCUGCUCUGGUUCACCAGAAGCGGCUUAGUCAUGCUGGCCACAUGACCUGGAAGCUGUACGCCGGCUCCCUUGGCCAAUAAAGCAAGAUGAGCGCCGCAACCCCAGAGUCGGCCACAACUGGACCUAAUGGUCAGGGGUCCCUUUACCCUUUAUGCCUAUUUUGGCUGGGGAAAACAGGAGCUGGGUUAAGAAGUCAGGAUGGAAGAGAAAGAGGAAUAGCCUGUUUCAAUGACAUCUUGAAGAAACUAUCAAAUCAGAAAUAGGUAUGUCUCUUACAAGGGGAGGUGGUCAUCCAUUUAGGGAUAAGUAGCCAAUUAAAUACGGGACGCGGGUGGCGCUGUGGGUUAAACCACAGAGCCUAGGACUUGCCGAUCAGAAGGUCGGCGGUUCAAAUCCCCGCGACGGGGUGAGCUCCCGUUGCCCAGUCCCUGCUCCUGCCAACCUAGCAGUUUCAAAGCACGUCAAAGUACAAGUAGAUAAAUAGGUACCACUCCAGCGGGAAGGUAAACAGUGUUUCCGUGCGCUGCUCUGGUUCACCAGAAGCGGCUUAAUCAUGCUGGCCACAUGACCCGGAAGCUGUACGCUGGCUCCCUCGGCCAAUAAAGUGAGAUGAGAGCCACAACCCCAGAGUCGGCCACGACUGGACCUAAUGGUCAGGGGUCCCUUUACCCUUUAUGCCUAUUUUGGCUGGGGAAAAACAGGAGCUGGGUUAAGAAGUCAGGAUGGAAGAGAAAGAGGAAUAGCCUGUUUCAAUGACAUCUUGAAGAAACUAUGAAAUCAGAAAUAGGUAUGUCUCUUACAAGGGGAGGUGGUCAUCCAUUUAGGGAUAAGUAGCCAAUUAAAUACGGGACGCGGGUGGCGCUGUGGGUUAAACCACAGAGCCUAGGACUUGCCGAUCAGAAGGUCGGCGGUUCAAAUCCCCGCGACGGGGUGAGCUCCCGUUGCCCAGUCCCUGCUCCUGCCAACCUAGCAGUUUCAAAGCACGUCAAAGUACAAAUAGAUAAAUAGGUACCACUAUGGCGGGAAGGUAAACGGCGUUUCCGUGCGCUGCUCUGGUUCGCCAGAAGCAGCUUAGUCAUGCUGGCCACAUGACCCGGAAGCUGUACGCUGGCUCCCUCGGCCAAUAAAGUGAGAUGAGUGCCACAACCCCAGAGUCGGUCACGACUGGACCUAAUGGUCAGGGGUCCCUUUACCCUUUAUGCCUAUUUUGGCUGGGGAAAAACAGGAGCUGGGUUAAGAAGUCAGGAUGGAAGAGUAAGAGGAACAGCCCGUUUCAAUGAUAUCUUGAAGAAACUAUCAAAUCAGAAAUAGGUGUGUCCCUUAUGGGGGAAGUGGUCGUCCAUUUAGGGAUAAGUAGCCAAUUAAAUACCAGGGGGCAGUGUCGUGAUUUGCAUAGGUCCAAAAAGCUGGGCAUUGACAUAAUUUUAAGGCUAUAAGGAUGAGACCAAAUUGGUCUCCAAGCUUCAGAAGGGAGGGGCAACUCAUUCAUUCUGGAAGACACAGCUGCUUGCUGGAAUAGGUAUUGAUCUGCUGAUUUAAUCUUUACCCUCACUUCUGCAUAAGGGAGCAACCUUUCUCGCAAAUAAAAUUCUGCCCUAUUAAUCUGUUUCUGGUGUCUUCCGGUCCGGUCUGAAUAUCUGGCAUGCCCCAGCGAACCUAGACUGCGUGGUGGCCAAAGGACUAUCUGCAAUCAGGUGUUGCAAUUGAAUUAGGAUCACGCCUUCAGAAAAAUUAGAUCUCGCUUAAUUUAAUUUUCUUUGCACCUCAUCCCCCUCCCGUCUCUUUUUCUGCGACACUCCAUCGCUCUCUGACCAUCCUCGUCUCAGGAAGUCACAUGAAAUUAAAAUAAGGCCACUGGGCUGCAGAAUCCUCACGCCAGAAAUGUGUGACGAGGCCUAGGAUCCCCGUGGCUGAGUUAGGAUUUGAACCCAGCACCCAUUCCUCCUGCGGGGACAGAGAACAUACAGUGGAACCUCGGGUUACAGACACUUCAGGUUACAUAUGCUUCAGGUUACAGAUUCCGCUAACCCAGAAAUAGUACCUCGGGUUAACAACUUUGCUUCAGGAUGAGAACAGAAAUCGCGCGGUGGCGGCGCAGCGGGAGGCCCCAUUAGCUAAAGUGGUGCUUCAGGUUAAGAACAGUUUCAGGUUAAGAACGGACCUCUGGAACGAAUUAAGUACGUAACCCGAGGUACCACUGUAUAUCCACUUUUCCCCCGCAAGCAGAAUUCUUCCGGACUGCUGUUUACCCAAACACCUAAUCUUUCUGUUGUCUCUUUUCUCUCCCCUCCCAUAUUGCUCUCUCCGGUGGGACUUAAUCCCCUCUCCUUCAAAAUAUUUAGGAUCAGAUUCAGCUCUCCCCCCGCCCCCGCCCCCGCCCCCCCGCUGAGGCAACAAAAUGUUUUGCAUGAGAAAACGAGCUGCCAAACUCCAUCCUCUUUUGGCACUGGGCACCAGCGCUGAAGUUGGCCGGUUCUUAAACAUUCAAUGCAUUCCCUGCCAUUACCUCCCCUCCUUCCAUCCCCAUGACAAAAAGCAGCUUUCUUCUCUCCCCCCCCCCCAAUUCCAUUCCGCCACAGAAUACAGUAUUUAAAAAAUGACCCCAAGUCAGGCUGAACUGGGAUUCUUUCCCUAAUGCAGAGUCUUUUUUGGGGAGAAAAGAUAAAGAAAGGAGAGAAGGACUGGAAAGAAGACUGGUUGACACCCCCGCCCUGCCCCCCUCCCCCGGCGCUCACAGCUUUGUAUAUAUUUGACAGUCAAGGAGUCAGAGUUUUCCGCUGAGGCAGGCGGAGGGGGGUGGGAUUUCGUCGUCACUCCGCACGUGCCCUUGUUCCUAAGCUCAGCAGUAUUUGGAAAAUACUGUGUUUAAAGCUUCCUUCUUGGGUUUUGACCGUGCCAAAAUCUCAAGGCUUUAAAGAGAGGGAACAGGAUGCAGCGCUUGCAAGCACUCUUUUGCAUUAGAUUUUCUGCCUCUCUUCUUUGAAAGAGGGAUGCAGAGGGUCUGCCGUGAGCCAGGCGUUUUUAGGGGGUCAGAGCAUUAAAACACACACACGUUCUUCUCAGGCAGUCUGAAGUGAGGCAGUCAUAAUAAAUAUAUAUAGGUAAAGGUAAAGAGGUAAAGGGACCCCUGACCAUUAGGUCCAGUCGUGACCGACUCUGGGGUUGCGGCGCUCAUCUCGCUUUAUUGGCCGAGGGAGCCGGCGUACAGCUUCCGGGUCAGUGGCCAGCAUGACUAAGCCGCUUCUGGCGAACCAGAGCAGCACAUGGAAACGCCGUUUACCUUCCCACCGGAGUGGUACCUAUUUAUCUACUUGUACUUUGACGUGCUUUUGAACUGCUAGGUUGGCAGGAGCUGGGACCGAGCAAUGGGAGCUCACCCCGUCGCGGGGAUUCAAACCGCCGACCUUCUGAUCGGCAAGUCCUAGGCUCUGUGGCUUAACCCACAGCGCCACCCAUGUCCCUAGAUAUAGAUAUAAAUAUAGAUAUAGAUAUAUAGAUAUAGAUAGAUGUAUAUCAAUAUAGAUGUAUAUCAAUAUAGAUGUAUAUCAAUAUAGAUAUUGAUAUAGAUAUUAUAUAAUUUGUUUGUUUGAAUUUUUUUAUUAAAAAUUUAAACAAAACAUAUUAUCCAAAAACAUGUCAUCCUAAAUUUCCCCCCAUUUUCCUCCCUCCCCCCACCCUCCCACACAAAACAUCCCCGGCCUUCCCUCAGUUCCAGUCUUUGGUUUCUUUGUGAAUGCUGUUCUCUGCAUGUUACAAAGUUGUAUAUCUCCUUAAAUUGUUUAACUGAUUAUUGUCAAUCAAAAGUUUGUGAAGGUUUAUUCAAAACCUGCCAGGGAGUCCAAUUCACUUUGUUGCAUCUUCAAAUACUUUGUAAAGGGUUCCCAUUCAUCUUUAAUGAAGUGAGGUAGCCUAGAAUAGUGGCAGGCAACCUAAGGCCCGGGGGCCGGAUGUGGCCCAAUCACCUUCUCAAUCCGGCCCGCGGACUGUCUGGGAAUCAGCAUGUUUUGACAUGAGUAGAAUGUGUCCUUUUAUUUAAAAUGCAUCUCUGGGUUAUUUGUGGGGCACAGGAAUUCCCUACAAAAUACAGUACAGCCCACCACAUGGUCUGAGGGACGGUGGACCGGCCUCCUGCUGAUAAAGGUUGCUGAGCCCUGGUCUAGAAUCUAUAAAAUCUAGAUUUCACCAGGCUCCACCCAUUGACCCAUCAAGCUCCGCCCCAAACUGGCCCCAGGCAUUCUAGAUCAGGGGUCUGCAACCUUUAAGACAAAAAGAGCCACUUGGACCUGUUUCUGAAGGAAAAAAAACUGGGAGCCGCAAAACUCGUCAUUAUAAAAAUAACUUUUUUGUCACUUUUUUAUUAUUUCUUUGUUUGACCCCUCAGAAUUACUCCUCCUCAUAGAAAUAAACGUUAAAUUAACAAGUUACCUUUUUUUAUGUGUGUGUUCUUCACUCCCCUUCAAAACAGUGACCAGCGUACAUGCCCCCUUUCAAUGCAGUGACCAGCGUACAUGCCCCCUUUCAAUGUAGCGGGCGGGCGGGCGGGAAGGUGACGUCGGGACGGUGCAUGACUAACGCACGCACCGCCCCCAUGCGACGUCACAGCCAGUACAGCACCCGCCACAGUGGGGAGUGUCGGGGCGCACAAUGCGCCUCCUCCCCUCACUAGUAUCCGCCCCGGAGCCACGGCAGAGGUGUAAAAGAGCCACAUGCGGCUCCGGAGCCGCAGGUUGCAGACCCCUGUUCCAGAUUCUUCCAUGCCCCGCCCACAUUUUGCUCCAGAGCCUCCACUCAACCUUCCACAUUCCUCUAGGCUCCGCCCAGAAUUUGAACUUCCUUUUGAUCCGGCUCCACCUCAUGGCUGUGUCUGGGGGUGGCAGUAGUAGUUCUGAAACUGAAGUCAGAAAAACCUGUUGGUUGCGCCCAGCAGCAAGCGUGAGUUUGCAUGGAUCGGAAUGAAGCAAUAUUUUUAUUUCCUAGCUGCUGCAUCCCAAAAGGACACACACACACUUUUGUAGUGAUCAGGUGGGAUUGCUAUGAGGAAUUAUAACAAAUAUAGAGUAAGCCAUCUGUGUCAGCAAUGAAAGCAUUGCGUUGACUGGGUUUAAACUAUUUUGAUAUGAUUCUUGAUCAAUCCACACUUCUGCAUCCUUGUUCCAUUUCUCUUUCUUGACAAGUCACGUACCCACUUAGAGAGGCAGGCAUCCUGGGUCAUCAAAGACAGUGGGCAGUUUCUGAUAUGUUAAUCUUAGGAUGUUAAUCUUAGGGCCAGGAAACAGGUUUCACAUAAAGGUGAUAAUGAUCGCUGUCUUCCUGGCCAUCCUUCUUAUCAUGUGUAAUGAUUGUUUAUGACCUCCGGGGUUGCUGAAUUGUAGUUUUGUAGUUUUCCUUUGUCGUUUUCAUUCAUUUACCCAAAAGUAUGCAUGCCUAACUAGUGUUUGUAGUUUAACUUUGUUCCCACGUGGGGUUUGUUGAAAUGCUUAGAAGAAAUCUGAUUGGUUCUUACAAACACUCUGUAAAAAGUUCUUUUGUGAAUAAAACGACCUGGGCCAAAGGGUGGAGGGACAGAGAGAGACACAGAGAGAGAUUAUUAUACGCAUCCUUCCCAGAGUCUUGCUGGUUCAAGCCUCUGUGUGGAUUCUUAUUAAUCAGAGUUCAGUCCUUCCUUUACUUUGAGAACGCCUCAACUUUCUUUUGCCCAGUUCUCCCCUUUCAUCCACCCACGGAAAGUAUACAAAAGCACAUUCUAUUAGGUGGAAUUGCUUUGCGGAAACAUGUAGAUUAGGCAAAAUUGCAGGCGGGCAGGUGCUGAUUAGGGAAAAUUUACACUAAAACGCUGGCGAAUCCCCAUGAGGACUUUAAAGGAAAUCACAAAUUGAUGUGGGAAGGUAGAGAACGCAAUUUAAGAUUGCAUGCCCUCCAACAUCCCACUAAUCAAAACGCAGGUGCUCAUUUUUUGGGGGUCCUUAGCUCGCGCGAGAGCCAGAUAACUCACGCGAUGGGGAAAAAAUAAUCAGUAUCUUUUGGUCCAGUGCUCUGGUGCGAGCCAGCUGAUUCGUGACAAAGCACAAGCUAGGCUGGCUUCUGUAAUUCCAGGAAGUCCCACUCAGACUGGGACGUUUGAGGAUAUGAGACUGGAAAAAUGAGAAAGUGGGGGGAACCAAAAUUCUCCGCUUUGCCCCCCCUCCCUCCUCAUAGGAUUUGGUCUCACAAUCCUGGUCAGCCUUCUAUGUUUCUCAGUGGCAUUCUUAACAUGUGGGAUGCGGGUGGCGCUGUGGUCUAAACCACUGAGCCUCUUGGGCUUGCCGAUCGGAAGGUUGGCAGUUCGAAUCCCCAAGAUGGGGUGAGCUCCCGUUGCUCUGCUCCAGCUCCUGCCAACCUAGCAGUUCAAAAGCACGUCAAGUGCAAGUAGAUAAAUAGGUACCACUCCAGCAGGAAGGUAAAUGGCAUUUCUGUGCGCUCUGGUUUCUGUCAUGGUGUUCAGUUGUGCCAGAAGCGGUUUAGUCCUGAUGGCCACAUGACCCAGAAAGCUGUCUGCAGACAAAUGCCGACUCCCUCAGCCUGAAAGCGAGAUGAGCACCGCAACCCCACAGUCACCUUUGACUGGACUUAAUCGUCUAGGGGUCCUUUGCCUUACCUUUUACCCAGAACUGGACAUAGUGGGUUGCGUCCAAGGUUAACCAUGCUCAGAGUAGACACGUCGAAUUUAAAGGACAUGACUUACAUGAGCCUGUUAAUUUCAGUGGUCCCACUUUGAGUAGAAGUUGGGACUUUAGAUGCAGCCUGGCCAGUCCUGUUAGGGUCCAAAAGCCAGCUUUUGUUGUUGUUGUUUAGUCGCUUAGUUGUGUCCGCCUCUUCGUGACCCCUUGGACCAGAGCACGCCAGGCACUCCUGUCUUCCACUGCCUCCCGCAGUUUGGUCAAACUCAUGCUGGUAGCUUCGAGAACACUGUCCCACCACCUCGUCCUCUGUCGUCCCCUUCUCCUUGUGCCCUCCAUCUUUCCCAACAUCAGGGUCUUUUCCAGGGAGUCUUCUCUUCUCAUGAGGUGGCCAAAGUCUUGGAUCCUCAGCUUCAGGAUCUGUCCUUCCAGUGAGCACUCAGGGCUGAUUUCCUUCAGAAUGGAGAGGUUUGAUCUUCUUGCAGUCCAUGGGACUCUCAAGAGCCUCCUCCAUCACCAUAAUUCAAAAGCAUCAAUGCUUCGGCGAUCAGCCUUUUAUUGAGGACAAUGCCACUACCUUAAACUUAGCCCCAUGCCCUGUGGAUAGAGGGUCUUGCAAACCUUUCCUCGCACUCUUCCCUCGAUGGCGGAGCGAGUAAGCAGAUCCAAAGACUGCUGAUAAAGACUGGUCUCGAGCCAUGAAUUGUAGUAUCUGGAGAUCUGCAGGGAAAGAGUAGUUUGAUACCUUGUCUAAACAGAUUGACUUUCAAUCCAUCAACUCCAGGCAGCUGCUGGCUAGCUGGCUUUUUAAUUUUUGUUCUUUUUCAUUUUUAUUUUAAAGGAAGCAGCUGCAGAAGUGGGCCUUUGGGGAAAAGAAACCUCUAGCUUUCAGAGAAGGUGGGGAGGGGGAAUUGGGGGGAAGCGGUGGUUCUGCGGCGCCCACCUGGUGCCGGUGAGGGGCCAGCGCUGAGACGUGGCUCUCAGUUUCAGCCUCCAUCCAGAGGAAUACAUGCAGCCCUGAGCGUGGAGCUGAGUCAGCGGCAAACAUCCACAAAGCGAUUUCUCUGGGGACCAAGGGAGGAGAAGGAGCAUGCAGGAAAGACAAGCGCUUUUGACGGCUCCUGGGUUAACUAAAAGGGAACCAUUUAAACCCAGGCAAUAAAUGAGUUAAGGAGGGUGUAAAAGUUGGCCCAGGGGUGAGGUCCCGGCAGGGCUGCAAAUCUGCCGAGCGGAAAGGAAAGGCUUCUGCAAAUGGGUUGCAAAAGUGGCACCUCAUUUGGCUUUCCCACCAAGCUCACAGCUCCACUGCCACCCUCAAAGCAGACGUCCUUUCCCUGAGCUGGGAUGCAGGCAACAAAGGCUUUCGAGUCAGGUUGUUGUUGUUUAGUCGUUUAGUUGUGUCCGACUCUUCGUGACCCCCUGGACCAGAGCAUGCCAGGCACUCCUGUCUUCCACUGCCUCCCGCAGUUUGGUCAGACUCAUGUUUGUAGCUUUGAGAACACUAUCCAACCAUCUCAUCCUCCGUCAUCCCCUUCUCCUUGUGCCCUCCAUCUUUCCCAACAUCAGGGUCUUUUCCAGGGAGUCUUCUCUUCUCAUGAGGUAGCCAAAGUCUUGGAGCCUCAGCUUCAGGAUCUGUCCUUCCAGUGAGCACUCAGGGCUGAUUUCCUUCAGAAUGGAUCAGUUUGAUCUUCUUGCAGUCCAUGGGACUCUCAAGAGUCUCCUCCAGCACCAGAAUUCAAAAGCAUCCAUUCUUCG